This 46365-nucleotide long non-coding RNA is filed under the name Citrus sinensis (sweet orange). RNAcentral describes it as "long non-coding RNA (CSIN_LNC000050)". The record is from RNAcentral. Lineage: Eukaryota; Viridiplantae; Streptophyta; Magnoliopsida; Sapindales; Rutaceae.
AAUGCCACUCAACACUCACUAAAGCCAGUAAAAGAUGGCAGUGACCCUCAAAAAAAAUUUCCCAAUAAUUGCUUCCAAAUUAAUCACCAAUGAUCUCCAGAUAUUCACAAAAAGAAGUAUCAGAAGUGCCACGUCUGAUGUUCAGAUCAUUUCCACCGAAAGAGUCAAACCUUCACUUCCAACCCGAAAACAUCUUAGAACCUAUAAACUUUCAUUGAUUGAUCAAUUAAGUACUGAUUUUUACAUUCCCCUAGUCUUCUUCUACUCGGCCAGUUGCAAGAACCAAGAUUUCAGAAAAAAAUCCGAUUUACUGAAGCAAUCUCUCGCAAAAACAUUAACCCACUACUACCCUUUUGCUGGAAGAUUGAUUGAUGGCUUUUCGGUCGACUGUAAUGAUCGUGGGGCUGCAUUUAUUGAAGCUAAUGUUGGCUGUGAUAUAUCAAAGUUUCUUCAACCACCAGAUAUGGAGCUGCUACAACAAUUAAUCCCACCUAGUCCCCAAUUAUCGAAUUUAGAGAUUUCUGAAAGAGAACUUUUGGCUGUCCAAGUAAACCUGUUCAACAGCGGUGAAAUGGCAAUUGGUGUUUGUUUUUCUCAUGGAGUGGCCGACGGUUCGGCAUUCUUUAACUUCAUGAAAACCUGGGGUGAAAUCGCUCGUGGGGUGAUUAAUGAUAAUGAUAAUAUUUGCAAUAACAAUAUCGUUUUAGAUUGCACCUCUCUGUUUCCGCCCGUAAAGUUCCCACAACAGUAUCAGAUCCGAAGCCCACAAUCUUCACGCAAGAUUGUGUUCAAAAGAUUGUUGUUCAAUGGAAAGAAGAUAGCAACUCUAAAGGAGAAGGUGAAUAAAGAAUUAAUGGCUGAUAACAAUUCUGACGAUGACGUGUUACAAGCAACUCGUUUCAGGGUUGUUUCAGCACUCAUUUGGGGUGCCUCCAUCGCUAUAGCGCGGGAAAGAAAGAGGACAAUUGAUAAUAAGUUGAACUCUCAUUCAAUGUAUUAUCCUAUGAAUUUGCGUAACAAGGUGAAUCCACCAAUGUUUCCACGGUGCAUGGGUAACAUUGCUCGGCUUGUAAGGGCAGAAUGGUCACUAGCCCAGGAUGAUGCCAUAGAGAUAACAAGUUUAGUAAGAGAAGUGGUAAAAGCCAAGAGAAUGGGAAGAGAUGUGAUGAAUAAUGAUGAGUAUUUAGGUUUCAUUAAGGAUAUGUAUGAAGUACCGGAAGAUUCGAGGUCAUUUCUUUUGACUAGUACGGUUGGAUUGCCUUGUUAUGAAGUUGAUUUUGGUUGGGGGAAGCCUGUUUGGUUUAGUUUCGGGCCCAUAUUGUUUCCUGAUUUUGCUAUUUUAUCAAGCACAAGUGACGGUGAAGGAAUAGAAGCAUUGGUGGUAAUGUCUAAGGAGGACAUGGACAAAUUUGAACAAGAAAUUAGCAUCAUGGCUUAUGCUUCCCCUAACCCUAGCAUAUUUUUAAGGAAGUAAGGAGUUAAUUUUAUUUCUCUUGCUUUGAAUAAAAAGAAUUGUCUUCUAGUUAGAAUAGUAAUAUGCUUACAAAGUUGAGAUUAUUGUACAAUAACUGUAUCUCAUUAUUAUCAUACUUCUCUUUAAAUAAAAUCAUGUUAUGUAUGCAUACUUCGAUCAGCGAAAACUGGAAGAGGACAAAAAAAAGGUGAAAAAAAAAUGUACGUAAUGCUUUCCUUUUUUUCCUUUUAUCAUAUUUUCUGAUUGCAAAGGCAGAAUUAUUGUAUCAUAUUUGGCAUCAAAUUUUAUUAAAGGAUCCUCGUAAGUAGUUAUAUUGGAUAUAUAUAUAUAUAUAUAUAACUCUGAAUAUGCGACAUAAAAUGUCUGUGAUGUCAUGUUGUGAAUGUUGCCAAUAAGAAGAAGUUUCAGUGGCGCAGGGAAGGAUUUCUUAUUAGGGUUUGGAGAUUUGAAUACAAUUUUGAGGAGACAAAAGAAUAGGAUGAAAAGAAAUUGGAGCUCCAUCUAGAAGAGGAGAAAUUGGGCCAUCGACUUCAAAACUCAGGAUGAUGCCAUAGAGAUAACAAGUUUAGUAAGAGAAGUGGUAAAAGCCAAGAGAAUGGGAAGAGAUGUGAUGAAUAAUGAUGAGUAUUUAGGUUUCAUUAAGGAUAUGUAUGAAGUACCGGAAGAUUCGAGGUCAUUUCUUUUGACUAGUACGGUUGGAUUGCCUUGUUAUGAAGUUGAUUUUGGUUGGGGGAAGCCUGUUUGGUUUAGUUUCGGGCCCAUAUUGUUUCCUGAUUUUGCUAUUUUAUCAAGCACAAGUGACGGUGAAGGAAUAGAAGCAUUGGUGGUAAUGUCUAAGGAGGACAUGGACAAAUUUGAACAAGAAAUUAGCAUCAUGGCUUAUGCUUCCCCUAACCCUAGCAUAUUUUUAAGGAAGUAAGGAGUUAAUUUUAUUUCUCUUGCUUUGAAUAAAAAGAAUUGUCUUCUAGUUAGAAUAGUAAUAUGCUUACAAAGUUGAGAUUAUUGUACAAUAACUGUAUCUCAUUAUUAUCAUACUUCUCUUUAAAUAAAAUCAUGUUAUGUAUGCAUACUUCGAUCAGCGAAAACUGGAAGAGGACAAAAAAAAGGUGAAAAAAAAAUGUACGUAAUGCUUUCCUUUUUUUCCUUUUAUCAUAUUUUCUGAUUGCAAAGGCAGAAUUAUUGUAUCAUAUUUGGCAUCAAAUUUUAUUAAAGGAUCCUCGUAAGUAGUUAUAUUGGAUAUAUAUAUAUAUAUAUAUAACUCUGAAUAUGCGACAUAAAAUGUCUGUGAUGUCAUGUUGUGAAUGUUGCCAAUAAGAAGAAGUUUCAGUGGCGCAGGGAAGGAUUUCUUAUUAGGGUUUGGAGAUUUGAAUACAAUUUUGAGGAGACAAAAGAAUAGGAUGAAAAGAAAUUGGAGCUCCAUCUAGAAGAGGAGAAAUUGGGCCAUCGACUUCAAAACUCACUGUGAUAUAUGUAAGCUAAAUUAAUUUUAUGGAUCUCUUAUCAAGUAUGGUAUGGACACACUCAAUAUAAUUUUAUGCGUACGGAAUAUCUAAAGUUCUAAACUCUCAAAAUUCAUUCAAAUGUACAAAUAAGAGAGUGGACUGACUGUGAUUUGGUAAAUAGUCUUUUUUUUACUAUUAUAGGCUUUGAUUAUACUAACCCCCGAAAAUUUGGCUUAAAAUCAUAUAAUAAUUUAAUAUUAUAUAUAAUCAUUCUCAGGUGUGGACGCCCGCAUCUUUUUUAAUGCGGACACACUUUUAAACCGUGCGGUUUAAAAGAGUUAGUUAUUAAAUGAACUAUAAAACCGCAUGAUUUUAAAGAAUUAAAAACUAACUCUCUUAAACCAUGUCGUUUUAAAAUGUAUCCGCAUAAAAAAUAAAUAAGGACGUCUGCACUAGAGAAUGACUAUAUAUAUAUUCGUAAAAAAUUUAUUUAUUAUAGAAAUCUAAAGUCAGCCAUUGCCGAACAAAUCGUUGUAUUGAAUCAAAUCUUCAUGAUAGAUUAAUAAUAUCAAAAUAUAUUUUUUUAGAAAUAAAAAUAAUUUUCAAAAAAAUUAUUUAUAAUAUUUAUUUAGGGAUAGAUUCGGAUUGCUGCUUAUGAAAUAAUUCACUUUUGCUGGUAUUGAUGAGAAAAUCAACUGGACAAAUGCAAAGUUUAAGUGUUUGAUAAAAUAAACUACUGAAGUAUUGUAUGUUUGAAGAACAAAGUGCAUAUGUUUAAUAAUUAUUAUAAACACAUGAUGUCGUCCCUCCAGUUUAAUAGAGUUUUUAAAUCCCACCUACUUCUUGAAAAGUGGUACAUUUUAUAAUUACAAUGGAUAUAGGCAUACGCCUAUGAAAACAAAUAUGAUAACAAAUAUACAGCAAUAAGGAAGUACCUUCAUAAUUAAGCUUCCGUUUGAUUGAAAGGAUGUUGUGAAGCUUGAUUAGUUAAUUCUGUUAUUUCUGUUAUGUGAUGAAGUGGCAUGCUGAGUCAGCUUUUGUGUGGGGCCAGAGUUAGUUAAUUUGUUACUGCUAACAGCUGGACAACAGAGCUAUAUAUGCAGAGCUCAGAGCUGAUCAACUAGAGAGAAAAAGUCACGAUUUUGAGAGACCUAGGGUGAGAGAUAGAAAAUUCUCUGUAGGAGAGAUUUAAUCUCUGUCAUCAAUACUCUCAUUGUAAACACUUGGUUAAAUAAAAGCUUCAAGCCCAGAGGGGUUUCUUUGGUCGUGGAUGUAGGUACUUAGGUACUGAACCACGUUAUAUUGUGUGUGCAUUGUUUCUGGUUCAUCUUCCUUUUACUGUUCUUUGGUUAUUUCUUGUGUUUGAGCUGGUUAGUUUUCUUGAGUAAAGAUUGUUGAUCUUGAAUCGAUUGGGUUCUAUAGCUUAGGUUAUUUGAUUGAUUAGAGUGGUUCUUGAGGAAUUCCACAACAGAUGUCACCGUUAUUUUAUCUGAUUCUAUGAUAACAAAACAUAUAGUAACAAUUGAUGGUUAAUAAUAAAAAGAAAAACGAGUUUACAUUGUUGGGAUCAUCUAAGGUCAUGCACAAGAUCUUAUUACCAGAAAUGAUCGAUUUGUCCACCAUUUUCCAUUCUGAUUGGCUUUUGAGAAGUCCAGGGGUUUCAUAAUAUUAUCUUUCAAUUUUAGUUUAAAAAGUCCAAGUGUUUCAUAUGAUAAUCUUUCAAUUUUAAUUUGAAAUUUACCAAUUAAGCUAUCAAAAUAAGUCAAUUAAAAAAGUGCCAACAUUUUGAAGGUAUGUUCAAAUCGAUUAAAAUGUUUUAUUAUCUUUAAAAGGUUAGUUUUCAAAAAUUUUGCACAUAAGUCCAUUAAAAUGUUUUAUUAUCUUUAAAAGGAUCAAUGGUAACUUAGUAAAUAAACAUAAUUAAGUAUUAAAAAUAUAGAUAGAUUAUUUUAACUUGCUCCACAUCCAUUUACUUAAAAUACCAAUUGGAUUACAAUAUUGUUUUCUUGUGUUUAGUUUAAUGCAGGAUUGGACAAAGUUUAUAUAAAUUUUGACAAUAUCAAAAUGAAAAAUAAAUAAAUAUUAAAUAAGUACUUGAAUGGUAAUUUAAGUUUUAUUAUAGAGUUUAUAAAUGCUAUUUUCAAAAUAAUAGAUUUCUAUAUGCAACUUUUAAAUUAUGUAAAAUUACUCAUACCUCAUCACAUAUAUGGAGGUGAGAUAAUAUUUAGAAAAAUAUAAUCUCAAUUAUUUACUUAACAUGAAAAGAAAUAAAUUGUAUAAUAUUUAUUCUAUUACUUAAAUUUAAAGUUGUAAAGAAUGAAACUUAAAUUUAAAAUUGUAAAGAAUUAAUAAUAACUUAAAUUAAUGGAUUAUGGGAGAAUUAUCUUUCAAAAAAAAAUUUAAGAUUAACUAGCUUUUAAGGCUUCUAACGUAAUCUUUUUUAUCUCGAGUUGUUAACAUAAAAUAAAAAUUUUACUGUAAAAAAAUUAUCCUAGACGUCUCUUUAAGGUAAAAAUAUCAUUAUCACAUGAUAAUUUGGUAGGUCCAAACUGUGUUAUUCUUAAUUUACUUAUUUAUGCUAAACACUAUAAAUUGAUUUUUUUGGUCCUCUACCUAAUCAAAAUUGAAUAUAAAACAUUUUGAAGCCUCUACGUAUAUAUUUAUUUCCUUGUAGGCAUGUACAAUUCAAAUUUCAACAAAAGUAUCAAAAGUUAUUUUUACGGUUUUUUUGUUUAAUUUCACAUCCCAUCCUAUACAUAAAUAUCAAUUAAAUAAUUUUCUUUUCCAAGGUUGGUGCGAGGGGAAAAUGAUCUUGUUCCUAUGACCUUUGCUCUCACUAUAAGGGGGCAAACCAACCCGACUUAUCCCCUGAAAGAUACAAAAGUUAUUUUUUGCUAAUUAAUAUUCUUGUGACGUUAAAAUAAAAAAUAACUAGUAUAUUUAUGGACUAAUCUUAAAUAUUAUGUUACUUUCAUAGAAUAUAUAAGUGUUGAGCAAAUUUUAAUAAACUAAAUAUAUAUGCGCAGCUUUGGGAUUCAUCGAAUUCGCCAACGGAUUUUAUUUUAUUUUAUUCAUUGAUUUCCCUUCUUUCCAUAUACUAAAUAUAUGCUCUUAUAUAAUAAGUAACAAGAAUUAUUAAAUUUGAUAUAUCUCAAUCUGAUCUUUUUGCUACCGGCAUAUUCAGACUUAAUUUUAUUAUUAUUGUCUAUUAUUGAAAUUAUUUAUUUUGGAGCCUGUCAUUCCUGAUAAUAUUAUGUAUUAUCCAUAUUUCUAAUCACCUUCUUUUUUAAUUUCUAUCUUUUUAGUCAAUUUAUUUUGAUUUUCUUUAUUAUCUUGGAGUUCCAUUCUUAUUGCGAGUAAUUAUAUAAUUAUGCAAGAAACUUCGCUUGUUUGUUAAACAUUUGGAAUAUGAAGUUUUAUUAAUUUCAGGUUUUUUUUAAGUUUUGCUUUUUUGUUUUUUUGUAAAUUAUGUUUGAUUUUUAAGAAAUUUGCAUCCGAAUAGAAAAAAAAUAACUUUUGUGACUUUUAUUUAAAUGAAAAAAGGCAUGAAUAAAAAAUAAAUAUUAUAUUCUUAAAAUAUCUCUAAAAAUAUACUUAUUUGCUGAAUUUUAAGAUUUUUUCUAAUUUAUAAGGAAAUAAAUGUCAAAUAACCAUGUUUAAUAUGUUUUUUAUAAGGAAAUAAAUGUCAAAAUGCCACUUAUAUUCAGAUAUAAAAAAAUAAAAAAACAAAUACGUCAUUUUUUUUCUCUUUUUUAAACCAAUACAAAUCAACGUGAUUAAUGUCGAAUGUAUGGAAUUCCAUGAGUAUCCAAAUGAAGAAUGCUUGAUAAACUAGUUGGAAGAUCACUAGGAUUGAAAAAUCGUUGACAAGUCUAAUGGGUACAAGCCCAAUUGGCCAUAAAGUCGGCAGCAAAUGUAGCUUCUCGAAGAACAUGCCCGAUACUAAUGGAUGACCUAGAAGCCAAUGCUCGAACACACCCAAUGAUGUAAGUAAAAUCUCAUCGCACAAAACUACUUGAAAUGGCCCAAGAAACUACAAUGGCUGAAUCAGAUUCUACCUCAAGAUCAGAAAAGCCAAACUAAGCAGCAAGAUCUAAACCUUCUAACAAAGCCAUUAAUUCAGCAAAAAGAAUAGAUUGGUGCCCCAAAAAGGAACCAAAAGCAGCUAAUGUCACACCUUGAUGAUCUCGUAAAACACCACCAGUAGCAGCCAUGCCUAGGUUUCCCUUAGAACAACCAUCCACACUCAACUUCACCACCCCCGGUGGCGGUUUCAUCCAAGAGACCAAUUGAGGUGGUCUACAGGGAGGCAUGAUAAUCCUCAAUCCCUCCCCAAUAUGAGUGUCCAAAAUGCCUCUCAAUUGAGAUGUCUUAAAACCAAAUACAUCACUGACUAGUCUAAUAUCCAGAAGCACUCUAAAAAUAAUAGUGUUCACAUUAAAGGCAACUGAAUCUUACCUGAGAGUGUUUCGAGCCUUUCAAACAUGCCAUAGAAUGAAACAUGGAAGAAUGACUCGAAUAUGUUUAGAAGAACAGCAACACCGUUGCCAGUGACUAAGCAAAGCAUGGGGAGACAAAAAAGGGAGAUACGGACGACCAAUCAUUGAGUAAAAUCGCCGCCAAACCUGUUGAACCUCUGGGCAAUUCAAAAAUAAGUGUCUGACAAUCCCAACAUCUCGAUUACAAAGAUACCGAGAAACCAUAUGAAAACCCCUAGAGCACUAAGCAUCAUCCGUGGCCAAGAAACCAUUCAAUAAACGCCACAAGAAAAAAGAAACCUGCGAAGGAAUAUGUCGUUGCCAAAUUAAAGAAAAAACCUCAUUCUGGCUACGGGACCCAUGUACAAAUUCCCAACUACUCCUUAGACAAAAAUUCUCAUCCCUAGAUAUGGCACAACAGAGUAUAUCUGGCCCAGUACCAGAAAUAGGUACUAACACAAUUUGUUCAACAACUGAUGAUGACAGUACUAAUAAAAGCUUCUUCUUAUCCCAAUCCACACCACACCAAAAAGAAGAUAUAGGGGCCAUAGAAGCUGCUGGAGGAUUAAAAUGAAAGAGAGGUGUAAAUUCAAGCCAGUAAUCAUACCAGAAACUACUAUCACCUGAUCUAACCAACCAACGAAUAUGAACCUCAGCAAAUAUGCCAUUUAAAUAUUUGCAUUCCGACUUAUUCAAAUUUUUUUAAAAAAUAAAUUCAUUUAAAUUUUUUUAAAAAAAAACCUACCUUAUAAUAAAUAUGAUAGAUUAGGCACCACACACAGUAGGCCACUCAACACUCACUUUGGUGAAAAUUUUCUCAAAGCCAGCAAGAGAUGGUAGUGGUUCUCAAAAACAUUUUCCGACCAACUGCUCCCAAAUUGGUCACCAAUAAUGUCCAAAUCAUAAAAAAAAAAAAAGUAUCAAAAGUGUCGCUUCUAAUGUUCAAAUCAUUUCCACCGAAAGAGUCAAAUCUUCAUUUCCAACGGAAAAACAUCUUAGAACCUAUAAACUUUCAUUGAUUGAUCAAAUUUAUUCUGAUGUUUACAUCUCCCUAGUUUUCUUGGCCAAUUGUAACCACCAAGAUUUUAGGGAAAAAAAAAUCCGAUUUGUUGAAGCAAUCUCUCCCAAAAUCAUUAACCCACUAUUAUCGUUUUGUUGGAAAAUUGAUUGAUAGCUUUUCAGUCGAUUGUAAUGACCAAAGGGCUGCAUUUAUUGAAACUAAUGUUGACUGUGUGUUAAAAAGUCAGCUUGUUGGGCACCGAAUUCGGUGCCUACCGAAGAUGAAUUUUCAAGGACAUAAUUUAGACAAUUUCAUCAAUUGGCCAGGUUUUUUCAACGCCUCAAUUUGGCUGGCUGGUGUAAAAUGAUCUCUAUAAAUAUAGAAGCAUUUUGCACUUGUUAGCGUCCCAUAUUUUUUAAAGCAAUUGUAAGUGAAGUAAUUUCAGAGAUUUGAGAAAGUUUUUACUUGAGUAUUUUAUUGAAAAUACAAUUGGCUGUUUUUUCGUUUUGGGUUUUUGGAUUUUAAGAGUUUUUCUCGCUUUUAUAAAUUCUCAUUUAUUAGUGAAAUUAUCUUCCAAUUUUUGUCUAUAGACAUAGACUUUAUGCAUAACCAUGUAAAUUAUUGUGUCCUAUUUUCUUUACAUUUAUUUAUCACUACAAUUAUAUUUAUCCACAAGUCGCGACUACCAUACUCAACCUAUGCUUCUGUAACAAUUGAUAUGAGAGCAUAUGGUCUAUACUUUGGUUAAACGACAUUGUUUACAUAUACAAUAUUGUUCACGUAUAUGGUAUUGUUCACGAAUACAGUGGAGCCAACAGUCUGUACUUGAAGUAUCAAGAGCCUACAAUGUAGUUAUGUGGUUAAAUGGGUGUCUGAGAAAUUUCAAGUGGGACCGUCGAGACCCUCCAUUCUCCUGAGAACUUUCCUGGUACAUUAUCUAUAUAAAUAGACACGUAGAUAUUAUUCAUUCGGGUUAGGUAAUUAAAAAAAAAGGGAUGGCAGAGGCAUCAUCUUCAUAUUUCUCAACAAAGACUAUUGUGACGAAUGCAAAAUUUGAAGUGGAAAAAUUAGAUGGUACUAAUAAUUUUGGCAUGUGGCAAUGUGAGGUGUUAGAUGUCUUAUAUCAGCAAGAGUUGGACCUCAUUCUUGAAGAAAAACCUGACAAGAUAAAUGACAAGAAGUGGAUAAAGAUCAAUAGAUAGGCAACUGGCACUUCUCGCCUAUGUCUGGCUAAAGAUUAGAAAUACUCUAUUAUGUGGCAAAUAUCAGCAAAGAAAUUAUGGCAUAUGCUGGAAGAAAGGUACAUGAAGAAAAGCCUUGAAAAUAGGCUUUAAAUGAAGAAAAAAACUCUAUCGAUUCACGUAUGCACCUGACAUGUUGAUAAAUGACCAUGUAAACUCAUUUAAUAGGAUAUUAAUGGAUUUGCUAAAUCUGGAUGAGAAAUUUAAAGAUAAAGAAAAGUCAUUGUUGCUAUUAAAUUCCUUUCCUAAUGAAUAUGAUCAUCUCACCACCACUUUGCUUCAUGGGAAGAACAAUGUCACAAUCAAUGUUGUAUGCAGUGCGUUGCAUAACUAUGAGACAAAAAAAAAGACAGAAAAGAUCACAAUGAUACAGCUAUAAAGGCAUUGACAACAAGAGGUCGUUCACAAAGUCGCAAACCUUCUAAAAGAAAGUUUUUGCAUGUUCAAGCAAAUUAGUUCAACAUUAGCGACAUGACAAUUGGUAUUUGUAUAUGGCACGGAUUGGCAAAUGAUUCAACAAUUUCUAUCAUCAUGAAAUUGUGAACUAAGAUCAAUCUGGGAUAAAUAAAAAUAUUUGCAAUAACGUCGUUUUACAUUGCAUCUUUUUGUUUCCAUCGCAUAAUUCAUUAAAGGAUCAGCAUAUAAAGCCACAAUUAACAUCUAAAGUAGUGAUCAAAAGGUUGUUUUCUGAUGGCAAGAACAUAGCAGUUCUAAAAGAGAAGAUGAAAAAAGAAAUAAUGACAGGCUAUUUUGAUAAUGAGUUACAAGCGUCACAUUUCAUGGUUGUUUUAUCACUCAUUUAGGGUGCUUUCAUUACUAUUGCUCGAGAAAGAAAAACAGCAAUUAAUAGCAAGGCUCAUAGCUAAGGGUUACACCCAAACCUAUGGGAUAGAUUACACUGAUACGUUUACACCGGUAGCAAAAAUUAAUAUUAUUCGUAUCUUAUUAUCAUUAGCAGCCAACUUAGAUUGGCCAGUACAACAGUUCGAUGUAAAGAAUGCUUUCCUCCAUGGAGACCUAUCUGAAGAAAUUUAUAUGGAUCUGCCACCAGGAUGCAGUGGACCAGAGCGACUCAAUCAAAAACUAUGCCAAUUGAAGAAAUCAUUGUACGGAUUGAAGCAAUCCCCAAGAGCAUGGUUCAUGAAAUUCACAAAGGCCAUGGUUCUUUUUGGGUAUAACCAAAGCAAUUCAGAUCAUAUCUUGUUCAUUAAAAAACGACAAAGUAAAAUCACUGCCCUUAUUGUCUAUGUGGAUGAUAUGGUAGUUACACACAACGACGAGGAAGAAAGAAAGGCUCUUCAGAAGUAUUUGUCAAGAGAGUUUGAGAUGAAGGAUUUAGGAGCCUUAAAAUACUUUCUUGGAAUUGAGGUUUCUCGAUCUAAGGAAGGAAUCUUCCUGUCUCAAAGGAAAUAUGCCUUAGAUCUGUUGUACGAAACGGGAAUGACAGUUUGUCAGCCUAUUAACACCCCAAUAGAAGAAAGACUGAAGUUUUGUAUUACCUCAUACCAAGUUCCAGUUGACAAAGGAAGAUAUCAAAGGUUAAUUGGAAGAUUGAUGUACUUGUCCCACACAAGGCCAGAUCUUGCUUAUGCAUUGAGUGUGGUAAGUCAGUUUAUGCAUAAUCCCAGAGAACAACAUAUGAAAGCAGUAAUGCGGAUUCUGAGGUACCUAAAGUCAAAUCCAGGAAAAGGAAUCAUAUUUUCCAAAAAUGAAGAUUAUAGCAAUAUAGAACUUUAUACUAAUGCAGAUUGGGUCGGGUCAGCUAGUGAUAGACGCUCUACCUCAGGAUAUUUUACCUUCGUAGGCGACAACUUUGUCACGUGGAGAAGCAAGAAACAACAUGUCGUUGCCCGUUCGAGCACUAAAGCCGAAUAUCGAGGCAUGGCCCUUGGGGUAUGUGAAGGGCUAUGGAUAGGCUUUAUCUUAAAAGAUUUGGGCUAUCCAUCACAACAACCAAUACAAUUAUACUGUGACAACAAAGCUGCCCGAGAUAUUGCUCAUAACCCAGUUCAACACGAUCGAACAAAAUAUGUCGAGGUAGAUAGAUUUUUCAUCAAGGAGAAAUUAGAUGAAAAACUCUUAGAACUGCCGAAAAUUUGAUCAGAAGAUCAACUUGCAGAUAUUUUAACGAAGGCCAUUUCAAGCAGAGCAUUUACAAAAUUCCUAGACAAGCUAGGUAUACAAGACAUCUAUGCACUAGCUUGACGGGGAGUGUUGAGAAUGUCAAAUAAAACGGCAUUGAAGGAAGUUUUCAAAGGCAUAAUCCGCACUUGUCAAAGGCAAGAUCCGCACUUGUCAAAGACACGAUCCGCGCCGAACGGAUCAACACAUUUUCUUCCGUAAUCACUUAUGUAAUCUUUGAAAAAAAUGUAGCCUCUGCAUCUAUAAAUAACGCUUAGUGUAUAAUGUUUUAUUAAAAAAAUGAAAACGAAGUUUCUUCAAAUGCAACAAUUAAUCCCACCAAGCCCACAAUCAUUGAGAUUAGAGGCUUUUGAAAGAGCGCUUUUGGCUGUUCAAGUAAAUUAUUUCAGUACCGGCGACGUGGCAAUUGGUAUUUGUAUAUGGCAUGGAUUGGCAGAUGGUUCAGCAAUCUCCAACUUCAUGAAAUUGUGGGCUGAGAUCAAUCGUGGAGUAAAUGAAAAUAUUUGCAAUAACGUCGUUUUAGAUUGCAGCUCUUUUUUUCCUCCGCACAGUUCACUAAAGGAUCAGCACAUAAAGCCACAGUUAACAUCUAAAGUUGUGUUCAAAAGCUUGUUUUUUGAUGGCAAGAAGAUAGUGGCUCUAAAAGAGAAGGUGAACAAAGAAAUAAUGGUGGGCAGUUUUGAUCAUGAGUUACAAGCAUCGCGUUUCAUGGUUGUUUCAUCACUCAUUUGGGGUGCUUUCAUCGCUGUGCCUCGAGAAAGAAAGAGGGCAAUUAAUAACAAGUUGUAUUCUCAUGCAAUGUAUUAUACUAUGAAUUUGCGGAGCAAGAUGAAUCCACCAAUGAUUCCACAGUGCAUGGGUGACAUUUUUCGGUUUGUAAGGGCAGAAUGGUCACUAGCCGAGGAUGAUGACAUAGAGGCAACAAGCUAAAGCUUAGUGAAAAACGUGAUCAAAGCAAAGAGAAAUGUAAGCAAUGUGAUGAAUAAUAUUGAGUACUUAGGAUUCAUGAAGGAUAUGAAUGAAGCAUGGGAAGACUCAAGAUCAUGAACUUUAACUAGUGUGGUUGGAUUGCGUUAUUAUGAAGCUGAUUUUGGUGGGGGAAAGCCUGUUUGGCUUAGUAUCGGGUCGAUGUCGUUACCUAAUUCUGCUCUUUUAUCAGAUACAAGUGAUGGUGAAGGAGUAGAAGCAUCGGUGAUUUAUACGAGGAAGACAUGGACAAAUUUGAAAAAAAAGGCUAGCAUCAUGGCUCAUGCUUCCUCUAAUCCAAGCAUACUUAUAGCAAAGUGGCAAAGUGACGAUAUUUAUCUUGUUUUGAAUUUAAAAGAGUGGUUAGUUAAUUGUAUUAAUUUCUCUUUGUUUCUUUAUGAUUUUAAUUAUCUUAUAAUCUUCACUCAAAUGCUACUGCAUGUAACUAGCUAAAUGGUUAUAUAAGCCACGAAGUGAUGAUGAAUAAGGGAUAUCAUUUAUCUUCAAUAUGAAUUUAGAUCUAGUGCUAAAUGUUUUAUAAAAUUAAGAUUUAAUUACAUAUUAUUUCUUAGUCAAUUUCUUAUUCAAUGAUUACCACUCAUUGAAUCCAAAUCCUUUGUAUAUAAUCUCUAACAAUUGUGUUGUUUCAUGGUUAAUUAAAGUUUACAAUUUAUUAAGUGAUCAUGAAUACUGAUAUUUAUGUACGAGAAUUUUUCAGUAUGGCGACAAAAUCAACGUUGACAGCGGUUACCAUCAUGAAAAAAUAUGUUAAAAUCAUAUGAAUUUUCGAUAGUUAAAAAUAAUUAAAAAAAUACGUUAAGACCAUAUAAUUUUAUCACUGUUUUUGACACCAUUCUAAAACACUCUGGAUAUAUUUUUUCAUUGAUCAAUAAGAUCACCUACCUACUAAUAUCUAUAAAAACAAUCAAACCGUUAUUUGCUUCCUCACACUUCUUAUUGUACUCUUCUUACGCAAAAAGUCUGAAUGCAUUGGUUUUGAGCCAUUUCCCUCUCCCCUGUGCCUUUAAAAAGAUAAUUUCUAUUUAUCCCCUGCCUUCUGUCUCAUGAAUCCCCACUUUCAUUCACUUGUUAGAGAAAUUUGCAAAUGGGUAUAGAAAAAUAUCAAGAGGGAGCAUAAAAUAAAUCACAUACCAUACAACAUAGAGAUACAACAAUUUAAUGUGAUUUAUCUUGAAUUGGGCUGCAUACUGAUAAUUAAUAAAUUAAUUUGAAAUUCUCUUAAAUAAAUAACAAAUAAUAUAAUAAAUUACAAAAUGUUCUUUAUUAUUUUAAUUGACUCCACUAAAUAUUUUCAUUAUCAAACAAUUUUUAAAAAAGAAAUUACGAAGAAUUACAUCUUGAAGACCUCAGGUCCAACUAUAUUAUUUGGAAGUUAAAAUUGAAGUUAAGAAGCAUUACUCUUGCUAGCAAUGGCACCAUUCAUGGAGGGAGUUUCUGUUCCAAUGACUUUAUUUGAAAGUUGAAAUUGAAGCCAAGCAUCUAAAAUUUUGAUUUUGAAAUCUCUGAAGACUAGAUAACAAGUUUCAUAAUCAUUAAUCUUUAAUCAUAUUGUCCUUUUUAGAAGAGUCCAAAAUUUUAUUUCAAAUUUCAUCUCAAAUAAUAUGGUAUAUAAUGUGUUAUUUAUUAAGUGGUUGAUUAUUUUUUAUAAAAUCUAAGUGGCUAAAUAGACCAAUCACAUUAUCCCCAAACGAGCAACAUAGAUUAAUUAAAUAAUAUUAUAAACUAUUAUUUACUUAAAGGCUUGGAAGGGGAUAAGAAAUCAUGUUUCACCCUCUAAAUACCAACCUUUCUCCCUAUUAUUAUUCAAAAUCCGGCGAUGACGGAUACAAACCGUAUUCACAACCAACCUAACUAUGUCCAAUAGACUAAUUAAUCUUAUCCUUAAGCUGACCCUGUGAAAUUAGUUACUAAUUUCUAUUUAACUUGAAUUGUUUUAUAUGAUAUUCUAUCAUACCUUUCGACGAAGCAUCCCCGCCAUAUCUUUUACUAAAGUUUAAAUUUAAUGGAGAAAAAAUGAGAAAUGGAUUCUUCAAAUCAAAUAUUUAUGACAUUGAACUUUUAAAUCCAAUAUAAAAACAAAUUCGUAAUCACCUAUUCUCCUCACAAGGCAGAGAAAAAAUUCAUGAGCUCUUGACUUGCUCCAUCUUUUCUCUAGAGUACAUAAAAUUCUAGCAAAGAUUUACAAAAUAGACAUGGUAAGAACUAUUGUCAUUUGCUCUACCAAAUUUCACUACAGAUAAAUGUGCCUUACUUGGAGCAAAAAUUCCAUUGAUCUCAACAAAAAUUUCCAAUGUUGCGAGAAGCAAUAAAUUUAUUUGAGAAAUCAUGCCAUUACCGAAUUAGCGAUGUAGCAGAUUUCACUUCCAUGGAAAGUCUAGCAAAUUUUUUUGUUGCCUGGUGCUCAAAUGCUAAUCGAUUCUCUUCACUGUCGUCCAGGCCAUUGGAAACGAAUCAAACGAUGGAUGGUGGGUGAGAUUGAUUCUCUUCACUACAAAAGCUGCUCUAAUGGAAACUUGAAUUGUCAAACAUUUUUAAUAAUAGCAGAUAUAUAUUUGACUUCUAAGUUGUGUGUUAAGUAUUUAGGAGUAUCUAUAACAAUCCAUUGGUUUUGAGUGAGAUGAAUAUAUUUUUUGUGCUAGUAUCAACAUGUACUUGUUUUGAAUAAAAGAGCUGUUAAUUUGUUAAUUAUAUUUCUUCUCUCUUGUUUCUUUUCUUGAUUUUUCCGAUUGAUUCUUAGAAUGUUAAAUAAAAAUAACAUUUCUAUUAUAUUAAUAUGGACGUAGGAAUUCUUAAAUAAUUUCUUUGUGAAACAUUAAUUUUUUUAAUUUAGUUUAUUACUUAUAAAGUUAGGCGUAAAUAAAGUAUAAAUUGAUUUUUUAGCCCUCUACCUAACUCAGAAUUUGAAUAUAAGAAAUUUCUCUCCUUGUAUAUAAUUCCAAUUUUAGCAAAAGUAUCAAAAGUCAAUUUUAUGACUUUUUUGUUUAAUUGAAAAAUUAUCCAUCGUCCACCUGUUUUUUCUAACUUUUUCAAAAAUACACAAUUCUUUUUUUUUUUACUGGAAUCCACCUGAAGUUACAUUUCUUUUCACUUUUCCACUUCUGUUUGGAGACCGUGAAGAAAAUUAAUGGAAUAUUGUGUAAAUAACUUUUUACCCUCAAAUGCAAAAAAUAAAUUAUCCACCGACCACCUGUUUUUUUCAUAUUUUUUCAAAAAUAUACAAUUCUUUAUUUAUUUAUUUAUUUUUGCUGAACUUCACUUGAAGUUAUAUUGUUUUACACCUUUCCACCACUGUGUCAUUGUGAAAUGACAAUUUUACCCUUAUGAUGUCAGCAAAGUUCUACCGGUGUUAUAACGAGAGUAGACCGAUGAAAAAAAUGUUAAUUUCAGGUGGAGUGCUACAAAAAAAAAAUUGUGUAUUUUUGAAAAAUGGUGAAAAACAGGUGGACGAUGGAUAAUUUCUCUUAUUUUUAAUUUCACAUCUUAUCAUAUAUAUAAACACUAAUUAAAUAACUUCAUUUUCCAGGGUUGGGUUUGAAGGGAAAUUGAUCAUGUGACCUCCUUGUUUUACUACAAGUGGCAAAACAACUCGACUUAUCCCCUAAGAGAUAUGAGAGUUAUUUUCAUUGAUUAAGAUUCUUAUGACAUUAAAAAAAAAUAACUAGUAUAUUUAUGGACAAGUCUUAAAUAUUUGUUUUACUUUACUAGAAUUUUAAGUGUUGUGAAAAUUUUAGUAAACAAGAUAUAUACAUGAACAGCAAAAGUAUCAAAAGUAAACAAAAUUUACCUAUGGAUUUUCUUCACUUUCUUUAUUAAUUACCCAUCUUUCCAUAUAUGUUCUUAUGUAACAAGUAACAAGAAUUAUUAUAAUUUGAUAUAUCUUAAUAGAUCUUUGUAACGACUCUCCCUGAAUUCCAGAGAGAAUCCGAGGGGGGUUCUCGAGAUGCAAUUUACAACUAAAGCAUGGCAGAAGCAUUCAAACUAAUAAACUUUAAAAUAUUUCUACAAUAUAUAAAAUUUUGUUCUUAAAUAGUGGAAAAAUGUAAAAUUUGCCAAACUAUUUAUCAUCCUUAAUUUAGAUUUUCUCCUCACUUAACAUGAAUCAAUCUUGAUCUAUGGAAAUUACAAUAAACUUUAAUGAGUACAAGAAUUAGUAAAGAAAGCAAUUUUUCAUAUACCAGAGUACAUACACACUUAUAUGUCAUACAAAUGCACGAUAUGCAAUGCUCUUUGAAAAACAUCGUAAAAGAAGUUCUUCAAAACUUGGGGUCACUUUCAAAACAUUUCCUUUCAAAUCACUUACUUGAACUAUCUUCAUUCAAUUACCACUUAUUAUAACUCUCACUUAACAUUCAUAGUUUCACAUAAUACUUAUUUUGGGCUUUACACAAGCAUCAUUCACCCACUUAUCUCUUAAAAUAAUAUAUAGAGUGCAUACUAAGAGAGUGGUGAAUUCAAACACCCAAGGAAAAAAGAAAAUUUACCUACUUUCUUUGAAAUCAGCGUGCUAAAACUCACUUUCGCAUUUUAAUAGAAAAUGAAAUGUAUAUGCCAAUACACCUUCUCACACACAUGCACGCACGCACUCAUGCACAAAUACGCACACAUGCAUGUACGCCCGUGCACACGCACACACACAUACGUACGCACACUCAAACACCGACACAUACACACACAAAUAGGCAUACGUGUGCAAAAACGCAUGCAAGUGUGCACGCGCGCACACCGAGAGACACACAAACAAACACACACGUCUAAGUGCACAUGCACUGUAACAUAUGUGAGAAAAAAAAGUGAGGCAGUUAAAAGGUAAAUAAAAAUAAAAGAAGAAUCGGAAACAAGGGAACACAUACACACGUGUGAGAGAGUGAGAAAAGCUGCAAACUGAGCUAAAACUAGACUCGACCUCGCGAACAUGACCCAACCGAAUCUCAUAAUUUCGACCACCCCACCAGCUAAGCUUAGUACCAAUCUGAAGCUUGAAGACCGGUCGUCGUAUCCCAGCCAUCAUCGUCGCCGAUUAAAGACCAUAACGCCGGCGUUUUAGCUCAAUAAGCGGCGGUAAAACCCACCCCUUCUCACCAUUGAUUUCACUUGUUUGGGGUGACACCACCGGUUGGGUUUUGUUCCCACAACUCCCUUUUGAUUUUUCCACUAUCCACAGCCACCGAAAGCCGUCGAUUUAUCAUGGAUCAGGCGUUGAAGUUACACGACUGUCGAGCUAGAUUCCAGCAUUGUCGCCACACAUGGGAGCUCAUCGCUGAUACCAUUGACUCAGCUCAACUAGAAAUAUCUAACCCAAGCUUUCCAAUCACCUUUGCUUGAAUUUCGGUCACCGUUGCCAGCGAGGGUAAUACGAUAAUUUCACAAUUUGAGGGCAAUUUGUAAUUUCUGACCAUGUAGAGAUUUUAGUAAUUUUUGAAAUUAAGGAUUGGUUGUAAUUAUGAUUCCAAGGGUAAUUCGAUGAUUUUCAAUUCCAGAUUAUUCUAAUGAUGUAUGGAUUCGAUGGUAUUUUAAUAAUUUUAUCGACACGAGAGUUGUAUAUUAUGGACAAAUGUUCAUUUCGAGUUUAUUGCAUAAAUUUAGUCCUAAUUUUGAUUUAUGGAAAUUAAUUAUGUCGUUUCAUUGAUUUAGGAGGAUCUGCGAGCAAGAACCAAUCUACGGACGUGGGCAAUAACCGAGUCUAAACAUCAUCACUGUAAGUGGAAUAUACAAAACCUAUAUUCUUUAUAAUUUAUUAUGAUUUUAAAAUAUGGUAAAGCAAGUUUAUGAGAUAAGUUUUAAAGGUUCUGAUUUAAUCAUUUUUUAAAAAAUGGAUUUUACCUAUGUAUUGGUGUUUAUUAUUAAAGAUGUGUAUGACUAAUAAUUUUAUUGCCGAUUUUGAAUAUAUGCACGAUAAUAUUUUAAAGAAAAGGAAUUAGAUUUAAAGUAUGUUAAAUGAAAAGAAAAUGAGAUUUCAGAUGUGAUUAUAUGUUUAUAUAUAUGUGUAUAAAAGGUUGUUUACCAAAUCAUUGGACAAUACCCUUCUUUGGUUACAGUGACACAAAUAUGAUGAGGCCUUUGGGACCCGUCCAAGUACACACAGAGGUUUUGGGCCGUGUGCUUAAGUGCUUUUGUCCUUUGGGGACUAGAUUAUGCAUGCAUAGAUAUGAUGAGAUAUAAAAUGGCACUUCCCUAUCUAUCCGUGUAGCUCUGGGCCAUGACAGUACCUAGGUAGUACAUUAUUGCUCGUCCAUUGAGGUCUGAAUACAACGAAAUUAUUCCCCUAGGUACUUGCUUAGUGAUGAUUUCAAAUUUGUGUAUUAUACAUGAUCUUGUGAUAUGCUUUUCCAUAGUUAUUACGUACGAUAUUAUAUAUGUUCUUCAAGGUUAGUAAUCUAAUUUAGAUGUUAAAUGAUUUAUUAGUGGUUUCUCGCAUACGAUUUGAUGAAACCGUGCUUGGAAAUGAUGUGAUUAUUUCUUUUAAAGUAAAAAUGUAUUUUAAAAAAUUAAUAUCCACUCACUGAGCUCACUGAGUUUUAUACUCAUCCCGUUUUAUUAUAUUCUCCCUCUCCCCCCAAUAGGAAGUUGCAGGUAUACCAAAUCGGCCCAGCGAGUGUAGAUAUAUUUUGAAUCUCAGUCAUGUGAUGGUGUUAGAAGAUAUAGAUGAUUUUUGUUAGGAUAUCCUGAUCAUCUAAUUUUUUUGGGAUUGUAUAAUUUUAUUGUAUUAUUCUUUUGGGAUUAAGAAUAAACUAAUAUAUAUUAAGAUUAGUUAUAAUAUAAUCUUUUGACACCCUGGAGAUAUCUUAUGUAAAAAUUUAGUAUUUUGGUUGAGAAUGAUAAUCAUUGGAGUUGGUUGUAUAUUGAAUUCUUUUGGAAGUGCUCUUUUUCUAUAGUUGCAUAUUAAGAGUGUUAUAUUUAUAAAGAAGAAUUUGCCGAAUUUUCAGCAGAAUUCUUACUAAUUAGAUUAUUAUCUAUCUAGUUUUAAUGAGAUUAGAUAGACUCGCCCUGAGGGUUCAGAGCAGGUCGUUUCAGGUAGUAUCAUAGCGUGAUUUUAGAUUUUGUAGACUUUACUAUAUUAGUAAGAAUAAGUUUUAUUGUUAUUAAAGUAAGAAUUGAUAUUUUGUAGGCACCAUCGUGCUUUGUUGUAGCAGUAGAUGGGGUCGUGGCUGUGGCCGUACUAGGCCAGUAUCUGGGUUGACUUCUGGUAGUGUACCUGUAGAGGAAAGUGAACGUAUAAAUGGGGGAGUAGUUGAAUCCUCCACGCAUGAAAGAGCACAACAGGCACCAGGGAAUGUUCCAAAUAUUGAACAAUCAUUUGAUAGGCUGGCUCAAAUCAUGACUACAGUGGUGCAAAAUCAGACUCAAGCACAUACCGAUAACGCAAACACUAUUGAAUGUGUGAGGAGUUUAGGGGCUAAAAGCUUUAAUGGUUCUAGAGAACCACCUGACAUUGAGUCAUAGUUUGUUAAGUUAGAGCGUAUUUUUGACGUGAUGAAGUGUUCAGAGCAUGACAUGCCAACCUUUGCCAUUUUCCUACUCGAGUAUAGAGCUUACCAUUGGUGGCAGAUAGCAGAGAAAUUAUAGUAAGGGCAUGUUGCGAUUACUUGGGCCAAAUUCUGUAAGGAAUUCUAUGAUCAUUAUUUCCCAACUGUGUAUCAAGAUAUUAAGCGAAGUGAAUUCCUUUAGUUGGUUUAUGGAUCCAUGAUAGUUGAGGAGUAUGAGAAGAAAUUUUUCGACCUCUCCAGAUUUACUACAUUUGUAGUCGGUGAUGAAAAAAAGAGAUGCAGAUUGUUUGAGGAGUGUCUCUAAUUUGAUAUUUGCACCACCGUGACUACAUCACGAUACACUGAGUUUGGAGAGGUGCUUGAGGUAGUCAGGAGAGUAGAACAUAAUAUUUCAGAGGGACGCAGAGUUCAAGCACUGAAGCAGAAGUGUAGUCAGAGCUAGGCAGAGGAUGGCUCUAAUAGCAAGUUACCUAAAAAAGGGGGUAUUCUUACAAUUUACUUUGAUAUCAUACAAAAGAGUCAGGGUAAAGGCUUUAGGGGAGACCCAAGACAGGAUGUCAGUUAUAGCUCAGUGCAGCCAUCAGUGAGGAGUAAUACCAGAAAUCAAGGACAAUACAACCGCAGUGGUGGAGGACAUCGUGAUGAUCGUCCUAAGAGUACCCAACAGACUUCUUGCUCUUCGUGUGGCAGGAACUAUCAGGGCCAGUGUCGCGUUGGAGACAAAGUUUAUUAUCUAUGUGGUCAGCCUAGACACAUCAGAAGAUUCUAGUCUACCUUGUCUUAAGGUGAAAAUUCUACAAGAGAGACAACCCUACGGUAUCGACCUCACUCUGGCCAGACUCAUGGUCACAGAGGAGUACAGACGGGAGGUUCUACGUCUACUUUGAGGAGUCUGACGAUUCCUCCAGGUCAGAGAGGUCAGCCUAGUCGACUUCAUACUUAGGCACGAGUUUUUGCUUUGACACAACAAGAGGCAUGUGCUGCAUCAGAAGUUAUUAUGGGUAUAUUAUCUAUCAUUGGUCGUGAGGCCUAUAUUCUUAUUGAUCCUGGAUCCAUACAUUCUUUGUUUCCUAUAGUUUUGUUAUACAUUUAGGGCGAGAUCCCGAGCCACUAGAUUGUGGCUUAGUUGUUCGCACACCUACUAGAGAGUCAUUACUUGAUGAGAGUGUAUAUUAUGAUUGUAUGAUUAUAAUAGGUAAGCAUGAAUUUGAGGCGAAUUUGAUGUCUUUAGACAUUCAUGACUUCGAUGCUAUUUUGUUCAUGGAUUGGCUUGAAUUUCAUUAUGCUACGGUGGAUUGUUUCAAAAAUGAAGUUGUGUUUAAAAAGUCAGGGAAUGCUAAGUUGAAAUUUUGUGGGAGCGUAGAGUUCUACCCUCAUGUGUCAUAUCUACCAUUAGUGCAAGACAGUUGUGAAGAAAAGGGUGUUCUGCUUAUUUAGCUCAUGUGAUAGACACAGAAGUUUGAGAAUUGAGAUCGAAGGAUAUUGCCAUAGUUAAAGAAUUUCAAGAUGUAUUUUCAAAUGAAUUUCCUGGGAUGCCACCUAACAGCAAGGUUGAGUUUUGUAUUGAUUUAGUCCUUAGAACAUCUCUUAUAUUUAUAGCAUCAUACAAGAUGGCUUCAGCAGAAUUGAAAGAACUGAAAGUUCAACUGCAAUAGUUGGUAGAUAAAAGGUUUAUUCGACCUACUGUAUCCCUAUGGGGAGCAUGCUUGGUAAUUUAGCCCAACCAUAUUUUUGGCCUGAUUGACCCGACCCUAAUUUUUAGGGCUUUGACCCGAAUUUUUGAGGUUAGGGUCGGGUUAGGAUCAAAAUUUUAAGGCCCGAACAAAUUUCGGGUCAGGAUCGGGCUUAUAGCUGACCCGACCCUAUUAUAAAAAAAAACUAAAUUGUGUGUUUUUAUGAGUUUUUAUGAAUUAUGGGUUUUUAUUUGUAUAAGACAUCAGUUUUUUAUUUGUAUAAGACAAUGUUUUUUUAAUGUUAGGUUGUGGAACUAAAUUGUGUUUUUAUUUGUAUAAGACAUGAGUUUUUUAUUUUUUAUUUUUUAUGUUGGGUUGUUAAAUUGAAUUGUGUAUGGCUAAAAUGGUUGUGGAAUUACAUUGUGUGUUUUUACUUUAAUUGUAUUGUGUGUUUUUAUGUUGCAUUUUAAAAUUGAUUUGUGUGUGGGGUUGAAAUAGCUGUGAAAAUUGGAAUUGAAUUGUGUUUGAAAUGGUUGAGGAAUUGCCAAAUUGGUUGAAAUAGUGGUGGGAAAUAGGAGGGUUAACUAUUUCGGUAGGGUCGGGUUGGGCCCAACCCAAUGUUGACCUGAUUCGAGUCCAACCCUAACUAAAUAGUGUUCGAGUUUCAAUUUUUUUUUUAUCGGGUCGGGUAGGGCUUGGCCAAGCCCGAGCCCGUCCCAACCUUUUGCCAUUCCUAAAUUGGACUUUAGGACUUUACGUCGACUACAAACAGUUGAUUAAAGUUACGGUAUGCAAUAAGUAUCCAUUUCCACACAUCGAUGACUUGUUUGAUCAACUCCAAAGGGCAAAAGUAUUUUCUAAGAUCAAUUUGUGCUCGAGGUAUCAUCAGCUUAGAAUUAAAGAGGCAGAUGUUCCUAAAACAGCAUUUAUAACCCAUUAUGGACACUAUGAAUUCUUAGUGAUGCCAUUCGGGUUGACAAAUACUCCAGCAGCUUUUAUGGAUCUCAUGUAUAGGGUAUUUCACUCAUAUCUAGAUCGGGUUAUAAUUGUAUUCAUUAAUGAUAUCUUGGUGUAUUCCUGAAGCGAUGAGGAGCAUACAGAGCAUUUGCAGACUGUUUUGCAAGCUUUAAGGCACAAACAAUUGUAUGUUAAGUUCAGUAAGUCUGAGUUCUAGUUGGACAGAGUAGUAUUUAUGGGCCAUGUGAUAUCAGCGGAAAGCAUUUAUGUUAAUCCUCAAAAGAUUAAAGCAGUUGUGAAAUAGGGGCGGCCUAAAAAUGUCAUAGAGGUUAAAAGUUUCUUGGGAUUGGCUGGCUACUAUCGUAGAUUUAUGGAAGGAUUCUCUAAGAUUGCUUCUCUGUUGACACGGUUAAUCAAAAAGAACUCGAACUUGUAAAUAUGUAAAAUAAAUACUAUCUAAAUAAAUCAAUAUACAACCAACUCCAAAGAUCAACAUUCUCAGCCAAGAUGUUGAAUUAUUACCCCAAGAUAUCUCUAGAAUAUCAAAUAUUAUAUUAUAACUAAUAUUAAUAUAGAAAUUUAUAUUUACAUUCGCUGGGUCGAUCUGAUGUACCUGAUAUUAAGGAUCUUAAAGAAGAAAUUAUGGAAGAAGCUUAUUGUUCAGCCUAUACAAUGCAUCCUGGUAGUACAAAGAUGUACCGCACCUUGAGGGAUCAUUAUGGCAUAGCAUAAAGAGAGAGAUAGCAAAAUUUAUUUCUCAAUGUUUAGUCUGUCAGCAUAUUAAGGCUGAACACCAGAGGUCUGUAAGGUAUUCUCAACCGCUUCUUAUUCCUGAAUGGAAAUGGGAGCACAUCACGAUGGAUCUAGUAGUGGGACUUCCAUGUACUCAGCAGGGACGUGAUAGUGUUUGGGUGGUUGUUGAUUGACUUACAAAAUCUGCUCACUUUUUACCAUUUAAAACCACUUAUUCGAUGAACAAGUUGGGGAGUAUUUAUGUGGCUGAGAUAGUUCAACUUCAUGGAGUACCUAUGUCCAUAGUCUCAUAUAGAGAUUCCCGGUUUACUUUUUAGUUCUGGACUAGCUUGCAAAAUGCUUUAGGCACCAAGUUGAACUUUACUACAGUUUUUCGUCCACAGAUUAAUGGUCAGCUAGAACGUACCAUUCAAACCCAGGAGGAUAUGUUGCGAGCUUAUGUUAUGGAGUUAAAAGGUAAUUGGGAUAAUUAUUUACCUUUGAUAUGUUAGCAUGUAUAUGUUCAUUAUAUUGAUUCUGAUGAUAACAAACUUUAAUGUUUUUUAUUAAAAUGUUGGAGUUUUCAGUAAUAAACAUUUUCUUAAAAGCCGUAUAAUAUUUCUAAAUGUGUUAAUGAAAUAUGGAUAAUCAUUAUUUUUAAAUCAGAAAAACAAUAUGUGUGAAAUUUUGUUAAAACUGUGAUUCUGGAAGUAAAGGGUGAACCGUUAACUUUGAAACAAUUAAUCGAUAAUUUUCAGAGAGGGAUAAUUCUUUAAACUUGAACCUGUUAGCAAAAACGAACAAGGCAAGUGUGUUGGGCAGGUUAUUGGAAUUAAACGGUGAACCGUUUAUAUCAAACGGCUAAUCGAUAAUUUUCAUAAUGAAAUUUUGUGCUAACCUUGAACCAUUUAAUAGAAACGAAUAAGCCUAUUUUGUUUCGCAGGCUACUGGAAAUAACUGGCGAACCGUUAACUUCAAACGGCUAACCGAUAAUUUUCAGAAUGUCAUUCUAUACUAAUCUUCAACCUUUUAGCAAGAAUGAAUAGUAGAAAUUUGUUUUGCAGGUCUCUAAAAAUUAACUGUGAACCGAUAGUGGCUAUCAAUCAACCAUUUAUUUGAAAUUCAACUGAACGGUCACUUAGACCAGUCAAAAUAGUAACCAAUAAUUGUUAAUAGUGAUCCGAUUUCAGGCAGAAAGUCAACAACGGCUAUUUUUAAACUCCAACUAUAAAUAAGCUCAAUCAAAUUCAAAUAAGGGUUGAUCACAACGUUAUCAUUGAGCUUCUAAUCGAGAAUACCACCUUCAUUAAACUUUAAAUUCAUUCUUGUUUCAUUUAUUCACAUAUUGGGUAUUGAUUUGUAAUCUUAUAUAUUGUGUGAGAGAAAAACAUAUUUGUAAUCUUUGUUUUGAGUGAUUGUAAGUGUUGGGAUACACUUGAGUUAAGAGAUUAAGGAUAAUCUCUUAGUGUAAAGGUUAAUUAACACCUUUGAAGUCAAUUGUAAGUGUUCUUAAAGCCUUGAAGGCUUAACUAGUGGAAUCCCCAAGCCCAAUGUGCUUAGAGACGUGGACGUAGACAAGGUUGGCUGAACCAUGUGAAAAUCUCUGUGUUUGAAUCUAUCUUCCCUUAUCUUUUUAUAUUUUGGAUGAUUUAUUUAUUAAUACUUUAAAUUCGUUUAAGAUUUGAAUCAAGUUUUGAUUAAGUUUUGGUAAUUUUUUAGAAACUCACUUCACCCCCCCUCCCUUUUGGGUUGCCUAGAUAUUAUUUCAUUUGGUAUCAAAGUAAGGUUCUCUUAUUAGGACUUAAAAAAUUCAUGGCAACCCAAAAUGAAUCUACCUUUAGGGAAGGACAAUCCACAACUAGGACUCUAUUCUUUGAUGGUAAUGACUAUCCAUAUUAGAAAACUAUGAUUAAAAUUUAUUUGAAAGCCUUAGAUUAUGAAAUUUGGGAAGUUGUUUGUGAUGGUUCAUUCAUGCCUAUUACUAAAAAUGAAGAAGGAGAUGAUAUUCCUAAACCGUCAAGUCAAUAGAGUGAGUUAGAAAAGAAAAAGAUAUCUUUAAACUCUAAGGCAAUGAAUGCUUUGUUUUGUGCUCUUGAUAAGAAAGAAUUUUAUAGAGUAUUUAGCUGUGAGAGUGCUCAAGAAAUAUGGAAUAAACUUGAGCUUGCCUAUGAAUGGACAAAUCAAGUUAAAGAGUCUGAAAUCAGUAGAUACACUCGUCAAUAUGAAUUAUUCCAAAUUGAACAAAAUGAAAGUAUGUAUUCUAUAUAUACACAAUUUACAGACAUAGUGAACACCCUAGGAGCUCUAAGAAAAACUUUUUCAAAUAACAAGAAAGUCAAGAAAAUCAUCGGAUCACUUCCAACAGAAUGAGACCUAAAAAGACAGCCAUUGAAGAAGCCAAAUAUUUAAAUACUUUACUUAUUGAUGAUUUAAUUGACUCUCUCAUUUCAUAUGAAGAAGAUUUGGCAGCAGAAAAAUAGCAUAAAAAGAAUAAGAAAAGCAUUGCUCUCAAAGAUUCAAAACAUGAGAGCGAUGAGGAAAGCGAGCUGGAUAAUGAAGAAAUGUUAUGCUGACUAGGAGAUUCAGAAAAUUCUACAAGAAAACUAGUGAACGGAGAAAGUUUAGAAACUUUAAGAACCAAAAAGAGAAGAAUGAGUCAAUCACUUGCUAUGAAUGCAAAAAGCCUGGACACAUACGGUCUGAAUGUCCUCUUCUCAACAAGCUCAAGAAGAAAGCAAUGGUAGCCACAUAGGAUGAUAGCGAUCAGGAAAUAAGUGAUGAUAAAGAGCACCAAGAAAUGACAAAUCUAGCUCUCAUGGCAAUCGAGGAAGAAUCAUUUGAUGAACUUGAUGAGGUAACUGAACUUCCAACAUAUGAUGAGUUACAUAAUGCUUUUAAAGAAUUUCAUGAUGAGUGAAUAAAAAUUGGUAAAAAGAAUGCAUGCUAGAAAAAGAAAAUGCUAGAACUUACAAAUGAAAAGGAUGCCCUAGAAAAAUGAAAUAAUUCAUUGAAUGAGAAGAUAAAUGAAUUAAAAUUAUACAAUAAAAUGUUGUAUAAUAAGAUUGCAUCUUUUAAAGGUAAACAAACUACCUCAUAUGAGCAUGAAAAAUCACAUGUUGAUGAAUUGGUAAAAGAGAAUGAAGUGCUUAAGAAGAAGAAUAAUGAGCUAAAUUAAUUGUGAUAAAAUUCACAAAUGGGUAAAAGAUGUUGGAUAACUUACUUAAUUCACAAAAAUAUGUGUUUGACAAAGAAGGCAUUGGCUAUAAGCCAAAUUUGAAACAGAAGUAUUAUAAGAAUUAUUUUGUAAAGAGUACCUCCAUUAACAAUCAAGUUGUAUGCCAUUAUUGUAAUAAAAAUGGUCACAAGAAAAAUAGAUGUACAGUAAAAAUAAAUGCAUAUUAUGGUGUGAAAUGUGUUCGAGGUCCAAAAAGAACCAUUACUAACACUUAAAGACCCAAGAAUAUUUUUGGUACCUAAAACUUAGAAACGUUUUCUACAAGGACAAAAGAAAAGGAAAAAAUAAGUGGUAUUUGGAUAGUGGAUCUUCAAGACACAUGACAAGGAAUUACUCUUGGUUUUCAAGUUUUACCAAGAUUGAAAAUGGUGGAAACGUAUCCUUUGGAGAUAACUUAAAAAGAAAAAUCAUUGGUAUCGAAAAUGUCGGUAAUGUAUCCUCUACUCUUAUUGAAAAUGUGUGUUUGGUUGAAAACUUGAAACGUAGUUUACUUACCAUUAAUCUAUUGUGUGAUAAGGGUUAUAAAGUUGUUUUUUAUAAGAAUAGAUGUGUUAUUGAGAGUGCAUGUGAUGGCAAGAUAUUUUUAUAGGAAAUAGAUAUGUUAAUGUUUAUACCAUUGAUAUAGAUUGUGCAUCUACACAUGAUAAAUGUUUUUCCACAUUGCAUGAUGAUGGUUGGUUAUGGCAUAAAAGACUAAGACAUGCAAGCAUGGAUUUAAUUUCAAAGAUUUCCAAAAACGAUUUAGUUAAAGAUCUUCCAAAAAUCAGAUUCCAAAAAAAUAGAAUUUGUGAAGAAUGUCAAUUUGGUAAACAAAUCAAAAUAUUUUUUAAAAGCAAAAAUCAUAUUUCUACUUUAAAAUCUCUUCAACUACUUCACAGACUUAUUUGGACCUUCAAGGUAUGCUAGCUUGAGUGGGAAGUAUUAUGAUUUUGUAAUUGUGGAUGAUUUUUAAAGAUACACAUGGAUAUUAUUCUUAUCUAAUAAAGAUGAUACUUUUAAAGUGUUUUGUAAGAAAGUUCAAAAUGAAAACGGAUAUGGUAUUGCAUGCAUUAGAAGUGAUCAUGCAUGAGAGCUUGAAAAUCAUGCCUUUGAAACCUUUUGCAACAAUUUAGGCAUUGUGCAUCAAUUUUCAAAGUUUUAAAAUCGUGUAUUGAUUAGAUUUCAUCUCAAUAAAACUCCAUAUGAGCUUUAGAAAUAUAGAAAACCCAACAUUGGUUAUUUCAAAGUUUUUGGAUGCAAAACACUAAUGAUAAUCUUGGCAAAUUUCAUCCAAAAUCCAAUGUUAGCACCUUUCUUAGGUAUUCAAACUCAAGCAAAGCUUAUGGAGUUUAUAACCAAAGAACUCUAGUUGUGGAAGAAUCUAUACAUGUUACGUUUGAUGAAUCUAACCCCUCAUUUGCAGAGAAAGUUGUUGUUGAUAAUGAUGCAGAUAAACAGAAGAGUUAUGUAGACAAGCGUAAAUGGGAACUUGAAUUCGAAGUUAGAGAUAAAGUUUUCAUACGGAUAUCUCCUUGGAAAUGAGUACUUCGAUUUGGGAAGUGGGGGAAGCUAAGCCCACAUUACACUGGGCCAUAUGAGAUCUUAAAGUGCAUUGGUCCGUUACCUUAUCGAUUAGCUCUACUGCCCGAUUUAUCUAGAAUCCAUGAUGUGUUUCAUGUUUCAAUGCUCUGAAAGUACAUAUAUGACCCAAGCAUAUGUUAUCGAAGUAACCUAUUCACUUAAAAGAAAACUUGACUUACAAAGAGGAACCAGUGAAAAUACUGGAAGGGAAAUACUAAGUUCUACGCUCUAAGACCCUUCCGCUAGUAAAAAUAUUGUGGAGGAAUCACAUAAAGGAAGAGGCUACCUGGGAACAUAAGGACUUAAUGCAAGCUCAGUAUCCCUAUCUUUUUUUUAUCAAGUACGUAAAUUUCGAGGACAAAAUUUUUAUAAGUGGGGAGGAUUGUAACAUAUGUUAAAAAAAAAUGAGGCGGUUAAAAGGUAAAUAAAAAUAAAAGAAGAAGCUUGAAAUAGGGGAACACAUACACAUAUGAGAGAGUGAGAAAAGUUGUAAAAUGACCCAAAACCCGACCCCACCCUUAAAAGUGACCUGGUCGAAUCUCGUGAUUUCGACUACUCCAACAGCCAAGCUUAAUACCAAUCUAAAGCUUGAACACCAAUAGUUGUAUCCCAGCCAUCACAAUCACCGAUUAAUGGCCAGAACGUCGAUGUUUUAGCUCAAUAAGCGGCAGUAAAACCCACCUCAUCUCACUGUCGAUUCUGCCAGUUUGGGGUGACACCACCAGCUAGGUUUUGUUCCCCAUAACUCCUUUUUUAUUUUCUGACCAUCCACAACUACCGAAAGUUUUCGAUUUACCAUGGUUCAAAUAUUAAAGUUACAUAGUUUUCGAACUAGAUUCCGGCACCAUCAUGGCACGUGCGAGCUCACCGUCAAUACAAUUGAACUCAGCUCGGCCAAAAGUGUCUAACUCGAGCUUCUCGAUUACUGUUGACCGACGAGGGCAAUUCGAUAAUUUAAUAAUUUGAAGGCAAUUUGUAAUUUUUGACCCUGUAAAGAUUUUAGUAAUUUCUAAAAUUGAGGAUUUGUUGUAAUUACGAUUUCGAGGGUAAUUCGGUGAUUUUUUAUUUUAGAUUAUUUUAAUGAUGUACGGAUUGAAGGGUAUUUUAAUAAUUUUAUCAACACGGGAGUUGUAUAUUAUGGACAGAUGUUCGUUUUGAGUUUAUUGCAUAAAUUCAUAUGUAAUUCUGAUUUACAAAAAUUAAUUAUGUCGUUUCCUUCAUACAGGCCCCCAUUUGUUAACGAUAAUCGUUUCGUUAAAUUAGUCAAAGGUUAAUAUCAUAAUUUCAUAUUAGUAAAAAAUUAAUUGACCAAAAACCCAUACACACACUUCACACACACGAACAAAACACACACACAUAGCUCCUCUCAGAUCUUGACAAAUCCUUAACGUACACACUCACACGGUUUGCCGAAAACUACUGCUGGGGCUGCCGCAAGCUGCUGGAUCUGCUCGCGCUACCGCAAGCUGCUGGAUCUGCUCACGCUUCCAUUGCGUCGAUCAAGAUCGCGUCUGGCUGCUGCUCGUGCGUCAUUGUUGCUCGUUCAUGUGGCUGCUGCUCGUGCAUCUUCAAUCCACGGUUCACUUCUCUUAAACUAGCUUUUCUCUCUUUAAUUUUCAUUUUUUUACUAAAUUAACUUUAUUUCUUUUUAUUAUGAUUCAAAAUCCACUAGAAUUUUGGGGAAUUUUUGGACAAUUAAUUAAUUUUCGAGAAUUUUAGACAAUUAAUUUCACCGAAUAAGUAGGCUUACCAUGGGCAUAACGCCAGAAGAUGACAAUGAUAGCUUUUCAGUUACUCAUUAUUCACCCUUCGGAAUGGCUUAAUUAUUUCUUUUUAUUAUCAUUCAAAAAGUUUCUGACCUGUUUGAUGCAUAUGUGAUGUAUAUGCGAGAAUAUAAAUAAAUCAUGAUGAGAUUUUUUGGUUUUUUUUUUUGGUUUAUGGUUGUUUGAUGAAUAUAGUUCUUAAUUUGUCUAGCUUAUUGGUGAUUUAUUGUGCUUAAUUUAUCAAUGAAAAGCAUGUGCUGGUUUGCAGAUGGUAACAAAUAAUGGCCUGCUUUCAGAUAAUACUACAAUGACAUCCUAACAAGAAUCAUUUCAAGCUGAGGUUGACUUCCAUAACACAGAUCCGAAGUCUCAACAGGAUUUUUUUUUUCAAAAAAUAUUAUGGUUAUCGUUGUAAUGUUUACCAAUGCCAAUUUGAUACAAUAUUAUGAUAGAAUGAUUAUUUGUUAUGUUUAUUGGUGGUUUUUAUGUCUAUUCGAUAUGUUAUUUAGUACAAUUAAGAUUUUGUUAACCACGUUUUUUAAUUUUUUUUAUUAUACAAGUUUAAAUGAUUGACAUAUGGAGAAUUGUUAUUCUUAUGGCAUUAAUAACUAAUUUUAUUUAUUUUUAUUCAUGAGUAAUGGAUUAUAAUUAUUUGGCUUGAAGAGAAUUUGAUAAAAAAUUUAUUAAUAAUUUUGUUAUAUGGACAAAAAUUUAAAUAGAGAAAUUGGGUAAUGAGGGUAUAUUCAUAAUUUUAUUAAUAAUAUAUGGACAAAAUGGACAAUUUAUAUGUUAGAAGGAUAUAACGGUAAUUACAUAUUAAAAUUAUCAUUUCUGUUAAAACUAACGGUUUCUGUUAACAAAUGAGGGUAUGUAUGUCUUUUUUGAAACAUUAGGGGGUUUUGUGUCCCUUUACUAAAAUUUGAGGGUGUCUGAGUCCUUUUCCCUAUUUAUAAAGGAGAUUUUACCAAAUUUUCAUAAGAAUUCUUACUAAUUAGAUUAUUAUCUAUUCAGUUUUGAUGCGAUUAGAUAGACUUGCCCUGAGGGUUUGGGUCGGGUCGUUUCACGCAUGCACGCAAGCGCGUGCGCACACUCACACCGGCCCAAAUACACAAUCACACUAAUCACCUAGCACAUCAUAUAUAUAUUUAUGUCUAUGUAUGUAACUCCAAUUUCAACAAAAAGUUAAUUUCAUAUUCCAUCCUAUAUACAUGAAACAUCAAUUAAAUAAUUUUAUUUCCCAGGGUUGGUGGGAAAGGGAAAUGAUCAUGUGACCUCUUGUUUUCACUAGAAGGGGACAAACCAAUUCGACUUAUUCCGUCAGAGAUACAAAAAGUUACUUCUUGCUAGUUAAUAUUCUGGUGACAUUAAAAUAAAAUAGUAACUAGCAUAUUUAUGGGCAAAUCCAAAAUAUUUAUGUUACUUUCAUAAAAUAUUUAAGUGUUGUACAAAUUUUAUUUUACUCAUUAGUUUCCCUUCUUUCUAUAUAUUAAAUACAUGUUAUUAUAUAACAAGUAACAAGAAUUAGUAGAAUUUGAUAUAUCUCAAUCUAAUCUAUUGACCCAGAGAGUGAGAAUUUUUUUAAUAUUGCCUAUCGUUGAAAUCACCUCCAUUUGUUGACUUUGUAUAUUUUCUAAGGGAUUCGCUUUGAUUUUCUUUAUUAUUUUGGAGAUCCAAUCCUUCAAGAAGCAAUUAUGCAAGACACUUAUAAAUAUGAUGAAUUUGGUUGCACACUAUAUGCCACUCAACACUCACUUUGGUGAAUAAUUUCUCAAAGCCAGCAAAAGAUGGCAGUGACUCUCAAAAAAGUUUUCCCAAUAAUUGCUUCCAAAUUAAUCCCCAAUGAUAUCCAGAUCUUCACAAAACGAAGUAUCAAAAGUGCCCCUUCUGACGUUCAAAUCAUUUCCACCGAAAGAGUCAAACCUUCACUUUCAACGGGGAAACAUCUUAGAACCUAUAAACUUUCAUGGAUUGAUCAAAUGAAUACUGAUGUUUACAUUCCCCUAGUUUUCUUCUACUCGACCAGUUGCAAGAACCAAGAUUUAAAAAAAAAGUCCGAUUUAUUGAAGCAAUCUCUCGCAAAAACAUUAACCCACUACUACCCUUUUGCUGGAAGAUUGAUUGAUGGCUUUUCGGUCGACUGUAAUGAUCGUGGGGCUGCAUUUAUUGAAGCUAAUGUUGGCUGUGAUAUAUCAAAGUUUUCAAAGUUUCUUCAACCACCACUGCUACAACAAUUAAUCCCACCUAGUCCCCAAUUGAUAAUGAUAAUAUUUGCAAUAACAAUAUCGUUUUAGAUUGCACCUCUCUGUUUCCGCCAGUAAAGUUCCCACAGCAGUAUCAGAUCCCAAGCCCACAAUCUUCACGCAAGAUUGUGUUCAAAAGAUUGUUGUUCGAUGGCAAGAAGAUAGCAACUCUAAAGGAGAAGGUGAAUAAAGAAUUAAUGGCUGAUAACAAUUCUGACGAUGACGUGUUACAAGCAACGCGUUUCGGGAUUGUUUCAGCACUCAUUUGGGGUGCCUGCAUCGCUGUAGCGCGUGAAAGAAAGAGGGCAAUUGAUAACAAGUUGCACUCUCAUUCAAUGUAUUAUGCUAUGAAUUUGCGUAACAAGAUCAAUCCACCAGUGUUUCCACGGUGCAUGGGUAACAUUACUCGACUUGUAAGGGCAGAAUGGUCACUAGCCGAGGAUGAUGCCAUAGAGGUAACAAGUUUAGUAAGAGAAGUGGUAAAAGCCAAGAGAAUGGGAAGAGAGGUGAUGAAUAAUGAUGAGUAUUUUGGUUUCAUUAAGGAUAUGUAUGAAGUAGGGGAAGAUUCAAGGUCAUUUCUUUUGACUAGUAUGGUUGGAUUGCCUUGUGAUGAAGUUGAUUUUGGUUGGGGGAAGCCUGUUUGGUUUAGUCUGGGGCCCAUAUUGUUACCUGAUCUUGCUAUUUUAUCAAGCGCAAGUGACAGUGAAGGAAUAGAAGCAUUGGUGGUAAUGUUUAAGGAGGACAUGGAAAAAUUUGAACAAGAAACUAGCAUCAUGGCUUAUGCUUCCCCUAACCCUAGCAUAUUUAUAAUGAAGUAAGGAGUUAAUUUUAUUUAUCUUGCUUUGAAUAAAAGAAUGAAUUAUAUUCUAGUUAGAAUAGUAAUAUGCUUACAAAGUUGAGAUUAUUGUACAAUAACUGUAUCUCAUUAUUUUCAUGCUUCUCUUUAAAUAAAAUCAUGUUAUGUAUGCAUACUUCGAUCAGCGAAAAACCAGCAAUCAUAUGAUGUGUGGGGAAUUAUUGUAUCAUAUUUUCUGAAGGCAGAAUUAUUUUAUCAUAUUUUGGCAUCAAAUUUUAUUAUAGGAUCCUCGUAAGUAGUUAUAUUGUGUGUGUGUGUGUCUAUAUAUAUAUAUAUAUACAUGCACACAUAUAUACAUACAUACAUACAUACAUAUAUAUAUAUAUAUGAAUCAACUCUUAAUAUGCGACAUAAAAUGUCUGUGAUGCCAUGUUGUGAAUGUUGGGGAAGGAUUUCUUAUUAGGGUUUGGAGAUUUGAAUACAAUUUUGAAAAAAAAAUUAGACAGAGGAGACAAAAGGAUAGGAUGAAAAGAAAUUGAAGCUCCAUCUAGAAGAGGAGAAAUUGGGCCAUCGACUUCAAAACUUACUGUGAUACAUGUAAGCUAAAUUAAUUUUAUGGAUCUCUUAUCAAAUAUAUGGUAUUGAGACACACAAUAGACUUUUAUGCAUACGGAAUAUCUAAAGUUCUAAACUCUCAAAAUUCAUUCAAAUGUACAAAUAAGAGAGUGGACUGAGUAUGAUUUGGUAAAUAGCCUUUUCUUACUAUUAUAGGCUUUGAUUAUACUAACCCCCGAAAAUUUAGCUUAAUAUAUAUAUAUAUAUAUAUUAUAUUUCUUAUAGAAAUCUAAAGUCAGUCAUUGGCAAACAAAUCGUAGUAUUGAAUCAAAUUUGCAUGAUAGAUUAAUAAUAUCAAAAUAUAUUUUCUAGAAAUAAAAUAAUUUUCAGAAAAAUUAUUUAUAAUACUUGUAUAGGGAUAGAUUCGGAUGGUUGCUUAUGAAAUAAUUCACUUUUGCUGGCAUUGACGAGAAAAUCAACUGGACAAAUGCAAAAGUUAAGGGUUUGAUAAAAUAAGCUACUGAAGUGAUGUAAGUUUGAAGAGUAGAGUGCAUACGUUUAAUGAUUAUUAUAAACACAUGAUGUCGUCCCACCAGUUUAAUACAGUUUUUCAAUCCCACCUACUCCUUGAAAAGUGGUACAUUUUAUAAUUACAAUAUGAAAAGUGGUACAGUUUUUCAAUCCCAACUACGCCCAUGAAAACAAAUAUAAUAACACAUAUACAGCAAUAAGAAAGUAGCUUCAUAAUUAAGCUUCCGUUUGAUUGAAAGGAUGUCAACGUUAUUUUAUCUGAUUCUAUGAUAAAUAAACAUAUGGUAACAAUUGAUGGUUAAUAAUAAAAAGAAAAACGAGUUUACAUUGUUGGGAUCAUCUAAGGUCAUGCACAAGAUCUUAUUACCAGAAAUGAUCGAUUUGUCCAUCAUUUUCCAUUCUGAUUGGCUUUUGAAAAGUCCAGGGGUUUCGUAAUAUUAUCUUUCAAUUUUAGUUUAAAAAGUCCUAGUGUUUCAUAUGAUAACCUUUCAAUUUUAAUUUGAAAUUUACCAAUUAAGCUAUCAAAAUAAGUCAAUUAAAAAAGUGCCAACAUUUUGAAGGUAUCUUCAAAUCGAGCUUUUCUGGUUGAAAGUCUUAUGGUUCAAGCAGCACUUUCAUUGUGUUGUGUAUAUUAAAAAAUUUCAAAGUGAGAAAGAUAAUUAGAUAUGUUUCUCACAUUUAUUACUUGGGUCCCUUUUUUUAAUUAUUCAUUACCAUUCUAUGUUAAAAAUGUAAGGGAAAAGGACAAAAACAUCCUCUUAGUUUGACGAAAUAGUCAUGGAGACUCUCUUAUUUUCAUAAAUAAUUAUACAAAUAAAUAAUUAUAUAAACCCAUUUUCAAGAUAGACAUACUCUUUCUUAUGUUUAGAAAUUGUCAUACAAAGUACAAACCGUUUUAAGACACAUAAACUCUUUUUUUUUUUUUUUUUGGUUCAAAAAUAAAAACAAAUUCACAUAGACCCUUAAGAUUUGUCAAGAAAAAAAAGUUUGUGUCCCAAAAGUUACCUAUGUGACCAUUUUUGAAAAUAUAGAGGUCUCUAUGACCAUUUCACUAAAUUAUAGGAGUGCCGAUAUCAUUUUUUCAAAAUGUAAUAAACAAGAAAAAUAUUUAUUUUUAUUCUUUUGGUAUUAUAACCUUAUUAUUACUCAAAUAUAUAAUAUUCAUUGUAUCAAAUUUUUGGUCAUUUUUUAUUGUAACACUAGUGUCACUGAAAUAUAAUAUGUAAGUCGAUGAUGUUGCUUGAUAUAUAGAAGUUAACUAGCAUUGACUUUAAUUCAUUGAUCCCCAGUUGCAAGUUGAUGGAUUUGUCCAUGUUACCAACUCAUAUAUUUUAAGUGAGAAUUUACAAAUUUAAAAGUUUAAAAGUUUAAAAGUUGCAUAUGUAAUUAAAAAACACUAGGGUUAUAUUCAAAAGUAAUAUAAUAAAGAGUUCCAAACUUACAAUCAUAUAUGAUGAUAAUUUAUUCGCAAUUAAAUAUGCAUGUACAAUGGUUGUCUUAAGACUGAGAAGCAAGAGUUUAGCCUAAUAGUACAUUGCCUUGUUAGAUAGAAUAAGGCUAUUGCUUGAGAGACUGAAGUAACAAGCAUUGACUUAAAUUCUAGUCAUAAUUCCUAACUAUGUGCGUAGCAUUACUCAUAAUUAUCAAUUUCAUUACUAUAUUUAUUCCAUCAAUUGAUUAUUCCAGGCAAACAAAUACAGCAGUAUUAUUAUAUUUAACUAAAUAAUAAUUUGCAUUGAUUAUAAGUUAAAAUUACUUAAAAAUAAUAUUAUUAUAUUAAUAGAGAAUUAAUAAAAAUUACUAUAUGCUAUCUUUAUUUAAUAAUAUAAUAUUAUUAUAUUUAAUAUUAAUAAUUAAUAAAAAUAAAUAGUUUAUUCUAAGAAAAUAUUAAUUUUGUACUAAAUAAUAUUAUAUUAAUAAAUAAUAAAUUUAAUAUAAUUAUAUUAAAUAAAAUAAAAUAAUGUUUCAUUUUAUAUUUACUCUUAUUUUUAUUACUGCUGUUAUAAUUAUAUUUAAUAAAUAUUUAAAUAAUAUUAUUAUAUUUAACUAAAUAAUAAUUGGGUUUGAUUCUAAGUUUAAUUUACUUAAAAAUAAUAUUAUUAUAUUAAUAGAGAAUUAAUAAUAUUAUUAUAUACCAUCUUUAUUUGAAAAUAUAAUAUUAUUAUAUUUAUUUAAAAAUAAUAGUAUUAUAUUUAUUUAAUAUUAAUAAUUAAUACUAAUAAAUAGUUUAUUCUAAGAAAAUAUUAAUUUUGUACUAAAUAAUAUUAUAUUAAUAAAUNNNNNNNNNNNNNNNNNNNNNNNNNNNNNNNNNNNNNNNNNNNNNNNNNNNNNNNNNNNNNNNNNNNNNNNNNNNNNNNNNNNNNNNNNNNNNNNNNNNNNNNNNNNNNNNNNNNNNNNNNNNNNNNNNNNNNNNNNNNNNNNNNNNNNNNNNNNNNNNNNNNNNNNNNNNNNNNNNNNNNNNNNNNNNNNNNNNNNNNNNNNNNNNNNNNNNNNNNNNNNNNNNNNNNNNNNNNNNNNNNNNNNNNNNNNNNNNNNNNNNNNNNNNNNNNNNNNNNNNNNNNNNNNNNNNNNNNNNNNNNNNNNNNNNNNNNNNNNNNNNNNNNNNNNNNNNNNNNNNNNNNNNNNNNNNNNNNNNNNNNNNNNNNNNNNNNNNNNNNNNNNNNNNNNNNNNNNNNNNNNNNNNNNNNNNNNNNNNNNNNNNNNNNNNNNNNNNNNNNNNNNNNNNNNNNNNNNNNNNNNNNNNNNNNNNNNNNNNNNNNNNNNNNNNNNNNNNNNNNNNNNNNNNNNNNNNNNNNNNNNNNNNNNNNNNNNNNNNNNNNNNNNNNNNNNNNNNNNNNNNNNNNNNNNNNNNNNNNNNNNNNNNNNNNNNNNNNNNNNNNNNNNNNNNNNNNNNNNNNNNNNNNNNNNNNNNNNNNNNNNNNNNNNNNNNNNNNNNNNNNNNNNNNNNNNNNNNNNNNNNNNNNNNNNNNNNNNNNNNNNNNNNNNNNNNNNNNNNNNNNNNNNNNNNNNNNNNNNNNNNNNNNNNNNNNNNNNNNNNNNNNNNNNNNNNNNNNNNNNNNNNNNNNNNNNNNNNNNNNNNNNNACAAAAAUAGGGGCAACUUGAAGUUUUCAAAGUAAACGAGUGGUUUGAAAUAGUUAAUUCAUGAGAGGGAUAAUCCAAAAUUUACCCAUUUGACAAAUACAUUUAUAUUCAGGUGGUUAUAUUCCACUCCACAAAUUUUAUAAAUCCACCCCAUUUUCAAAACUUAUUACAACAAGUUUACAUUAGUUUUAAAAAAAUUCAAAUUAAGAGAAAUUUUUAGAAAAAAUUAGUCAAUUAAAUCCAUAUUCAUUUUUUACACUAUUUUUUUAUUAUAUUUGAUCAAUAAGGUUACUUUAACAUAAAUUAAUAUGACUCUUUUACCCUCAUCAUAAAGUUUCAAAAUAUCUAAAAAUUUACUUUAGCUUGAAUAAUUUUUUUCUGCUGUACGGCCAAGGCGGAUGUACGGUACAGCAGAAAUAUAUUUUUUAUUAAUUUUGUAAUUAAAAACUAUAAUUCUUUAAAAAAGGAUAAAAUUGUAGUUUGAAACUAUUUACUCUCAAUCCAAGACAAAGUAAAUACAUAAAUUGGAUUCUGAUCUCCAUUUCAUGCUUCCAUUCCAGUGCAAGUAAACAAGCUACGUCUACUCCCACUCUACACUCCUAAUCCUAAAAUUCUCAUUUCUCAUGAUUUCCACUCGAAUCCAAAAAGUAAACGCUAUCUUAUAGUAGUGGACAUAGGGUGCUUGUUUUUAUCUCUUUACAGCCAAGGCCAUAAAUGAAAUUCUCACUAAAAAAAAUCAGGUACAGAUUGAAGAUAAGCAUUUAAAAUUCAGAUUUUGAAAUAUCUGAAGAUUAGAUAUCAAAAUUAAUUACCAUUAAUGGCAACAUAUUACUAAGCAGUAAUUCUAUGCAAACAACACCAUCUUAUUUUUUUUAUGCCAUGGGAUACAGCAAUGAACUUUGGCCAAAUGUACCAAUCACAUAAUUCCUAAUGAACAAUGUAAAUUAAUCAAAUAAUAUAAUAAAAUACUAUUUACUUAUAGGUUUGGAUGGGAUGAGAAAUCCCACCCUCUAAAUACCAAUAUUUUUUCAAUUACUACUCAAACUUUGUGACUGUGUAUUCACAACCAUCGAGCUAUGUUCAGGAGGUUGAUUAGUCUUAUCCUUAAGCUUACCUUGUAAAAUUAAAUACUCAUUUUUAUUUUACUUGAAUCGGUUUGUAUGGUGUUCUAUCAUACCUUAUGACGGAGCAUCGCCGCCAUAUCUUUCUCUUAAGUUUAAAUUUAAUGGAGAAAAUCUGAGAAAUGGAUUCUUCAAAUCACAUAUUUAUGGCACUAGACUCUGAUAUUCAAUAUAAAAUCAAAUUCGCUGUCUCCUCUUCUUCUCAGAAAGCAAAGGAAAAAAAAAAGGCUCUUGAGCUCUUUACUUGCUCCAACUUUUCUCUAGAGUACACGAAAUUCUGGCAAAAAAUUUACAAAAUAGAUAUGGAAUUACAACUAUUUUUUCCUCUACCAAAUUUUACAUUUAUUAGUAAAUAUAAGUGUGCCUUACUUAGAGCAAAAAAUACAUUGAUGUUUAAAAAACAUUCCUCCGUUGAGAAAAGCAAUCAUUUAUUUGAGAACUCAUAAUACAAUCGACGGAUCAGCGAUUUACCAGACUUAUAAGUUACAAUCUAUGCCAUGGAAUGCCUCUAUGGGGUUGAUGCUUGGUUUCUUCCAGCACGUCUUCUUUCAUGUACUGACUUUUGUUUAAGCCCCUGUAGCUCACAACUGAAGCUUUGUAGGACCAUGGUGCUCAAAUGCUAAACGAUUUUCUUCACUGAUGACCAUGCCCUAGGAAACGAUGGAUGGUUGAUGAGAUUCCAAUGCUUUUAUUACAAAAGCUGCUCUAAUGGAAGCUUGCAUUGUCAUUAGACUUUUAAAUUGUGAGUUGAGUAUUUGUUAGCACUUAACAAUCCCUGGGUUGCUAUUGAGUUGUAUAUUCUGUAUGCCACUGUCAACGAGUACUUGUUUUGAAUAAAAGAGUUGUUAAUUUGUAAAUUAUAAUUCUUCUCUCUUGUUCAAUUAUGAUUUUUUCUUUUAUAAUUUUGCUCACCUUCUACCUUUUAAAUAAAAUGAAAAAAAAUUAACAUUUCACAAAGAAAUUAUUCAAGAAUUCCCACUUCAUAUAAUAUCAAGGAAACUUUAUAUUUAAUCAACAUUGUAAGAAAUUGAUUUUUUAAUCCUUUAUCUCACUAUAAUUUAUUCAUGAUUGGUCAGUCAAAGAAAAUACUAAAACAAAAAUAUAAUGAUAAAAACAAAAAGAGUUAAUCGGUUAUUUAUUAAAUUAAGACCAAACUCUUUGUAAAUCGUUAAUUUUGAAUUAUCCCCUCAUAAAUUGACUAUUUUUAAAUCACCUCUUUCUUUUAAAAACCUCAAUUUAUUUCCAUUUUAUUUUGUUAAGAAAACCAAAAAUCAUCGAUUGAACCCUCUUUUUCUUUAUCUUUUGGACAAAAAUAGGGGCAACUUGAAGUUUUCAAAGUAAACGAGUGGUUUGAAAUAGUUAAUUCAUGAGAGGGAUAAUCCAAAAUUUACCCAUUUGACAAAUACAUUUAUAUUCAGGUGGUUAUAUUCCACUCCACAAAUUUUAUAAAUCCACCCCAUUUUCAAAACUUAUUACAACAAGUUUACAUUAGUUUUAAAAAAAUUCAAAUUAAGAGAAAUUUUUAGAAAAAAUUAGUCAAUUAAAUCCAUAUUCAUUUUUUACACUAUUUUUUUAUUAUAUUUGAUCAAUAAGGUUACUUUAACAUAAAUUAAUAUGACUCUUUUACCCUCAUCAUAAAGUUUCAAAAUAUCUAAAAAUUUACUUUAGCUUGAAUAAUUUUUUUAUACAAAUUUUUUCAUAUUUUAAUGAUAUAGUAGUGAUUUAUUUGUUAUUCAUUUAUUUUUUAAGACUAUUUUUUAUUAUAUUUAAACAAUAACGUUGCUUUAACAUAAAUUAAUAUGAUUAUUUUACCAUCAUAAGGUAAAAGUACCAAAAUAUCUAAAAUUUUGUUUCAAUCUUCUCAUCUUUAAUUUGAAUCAACUGUACAUUUUAAUUUAGAGUUUAAAACCAAUCCUUAAAGAAAUAAUUGACUUAUAAGAAAACUAUUAAAAAAGAGAGAAAGAGAACAAGAAACAAGAUACAUGUAUUUGGGAUUUUAGCAAAGAGAAAGUUAUUUAGAAUAACUGAAAUAACGGUAUUUUUGGAAUUAAAGAGUGUGUUAAUAGUCAUGAUGAAUUUUCUAAUAUUAUUUAAUAGGGUACACUUAAUAACGGGUUUUAAUAGGAUGUAAGAGGGGUGCCAAUAGCUCCACUCUAUAUUCUUUAUGAACCAUGGAAUAAAGUAAUGAAUUUACUUUGACGAAAUGAACCAAUCACGUUAUAUCAAAUGAAAAUUAAUAUUACAAUUAGUUAUUAAUUUUUUUUGUUUCAAUCACGAUGAGUGGGUUCCAACUGUGAGAGGAACCUUUAAGUCCGUACCACAACCCAUACUAAUCUCCGCUCGCACUGGGUCGGCCUAUAAGGGGUAAAGUACUGGCCAAAGUGGUGACUCCAUACGAGAACGGAACUUGAACCCCUGACCUCUCUUAAAAAAUAAGAGUGUCAAACCACUCACACCAACCAACUUUGGUCAGUUAUUAAUUUCAAUCUAAAAACCAAAAACCAAAACAAAUAAAUAAACGUCACUUUUCAACUCGUUACUUGCUCAAUCUUUCCUCCAAUUUUUCUCGGUAUGGAAGAAUCUUCUACAACUAAAAAAUUGCUUUUUCUUCUCGAGAAUGCACAAAAGUCUGGCAAAAAUUUUGAAAAUGGAUAUGGUAUUAAAAUUACUGUCAUUUGCGUCCACUAAAUUUCACAUCUAUUAGUAAAAAUAAGUAUGCCUCAAUAUCAAGAAAACUUCCAAUAUUAAAUGAAGCAAUAAUUUACUUAAGCACAUAUUGCAACAAAGUAAACCCAGAAUUAAUUUCCUUGAGCAUAUUAGCACGUUAGUUCAUAUAAUAAAGAAAUUCAUACAUUAUAUAAAUUAACUUUUAUAUAGUUGCAUGACACUUGUGUUAUGUUUACUUGUUGAAUUAGAAGUGGGGAAUAUGGUUCUUUCACUCUAUUCAUUUAAGGAGGAGAAUGAAAGUCUCAUUGGGUCCUACUCAUUAACAGUGAGAAAUUGAGAAUACACUCCCGUAUUUGUUUUUACUCUUCCCUUAUUAAAUAUAAUAUAAUUAUAUUUAAAAUAAUUUUACAUUUAUUUAAAAAUAAUAAUAUCACAUUCAUUGAAAUAAUAUUAUUAUAUUAUUUAAUAAUAUUAGAUUUAUUAAAAAUAACAAUAGUAAACUUAUUUAAGUAUAAUAUUAUUAUAUUUAGUUAAAAAUGACAAUUUACAUCAAUUCUAAGUUAAAAUUACUCAAAAAUAAUAUUACUAUAUUCAUAGAGAAUUAAUAAUAUUACUAUAUACUAUCUUUAUUUGAAAAUUAUAAAAUUAUUUUAUUUAUUUAAUUUUAAUAGUAUUAUUUGUAUUUAAUAUUAAUAAUUAAUGAUAAUAAAUAGUUUAUUGUAAGAAAAUAUUAUUUGGCCGUACAGCAGUUACGUAAUUGAGAAUAUUAAUAAUUAUUAUUAAUUUAUAUUGUUAAAAUUAAUAAUAAAAUAAGUAGUUUAUUUUACUUUUUUUUUUACUUUGUAAUUAAAAACUACAAUUUUUUAAAUAAGGGUAAAACUAUAAUUUGAAAUAAUUCACUCAUAAUCUAAUAUAAAGUAAAUAUACAUAUGGGAUUUUGAUUCCUAUCCCACACCCAUUACAAUGUAAGUAAACAACUUAUUCUCACUCCCAAUCCCAUGAUUCUCAUUCCCUGGGAUUCCAAUUCUAAUUCAAGUAGUAAAUGCUACCUUAAUACAUUUUGAGAUAGCUAGCAUUCAUAAGUCAACAUUAUAUAAAUUAACUUUAUACAAUUAUAAAUGCACAACACAAGAAAUUUAAAAAUUCAUAUCAACUUAAGAUUUCUUGUUUGAUGUUGUACCCUUAAAAAAACUUUAAAUAUUAAUAUCAACUUAGACCCUAUUUGGUAUGGUGGUUGAGUAGUUGUAACUUAAAAGUUAUGAUACUAAAGCGUUUAGAAAACACUAAUUAUUGAGGUUUAAUUUGCAAGUUAACUUGAUUUUUUCUCUAAUAAACUUCAAUCCAUUCCCCUGAUAAAGUGACAAUCUUUAGUUUAGCCCCUAAAAGUGCGAAACCCUCAUUUUACUCUUAUUUUCGUUCAAAAGAUGAGGACAAAUAGGGUGCGUUGAUAAAUAAUUAUUUUUUGUCUUCUUAAUAAUAAAUAAAGAUAAAUUGAUGUUUUCAAACUUUUGAAAUGUAAAUUAAAGAUUGUCAUUCUAAGUAGAUGUAAAUUAAAAUUUAUCCUUUUAUCCCACACUGGCAUGAUACCUAUAAUAUAUUUAUUACUUUUAUUAAAAUAAAUUUUUUAAAAAUCAUAUUUACUACAUACUAUCAACAACAUAUUCCAUUUCCAAUUUACAUAAUCUUCUUCAGUACUUAUCAAAGAAAAAAAAUCUUGAGUAAGCACAAACUUCCAACGUUACAUUCACUAAUAUUUUUGCUCACAAACUUCCAAGAACAUAAAAGCCCGCUACACAUACAUGCUUGGAUUAUUUAAGAAAUAAUAAAAUAAUCAAUUAAUGUCAAUGUUAUUAUAUAAAAUAAAAGCCUUUUGAAAAGAACAAGUAACAAGAAUUAUUGAAUUUGGAUAUAUCUUAAUAAGAUUUUUUGACUCGAAGGCGCUCAUUCAUAGUCAUAGUUUUUUAUAUAAAGAUCGGUAACAUAAAGCUAGCAUGUAUUUAAUAAUUCUUGUUACUUGUUCUAUAAGGAUUAACUAUUUCUUAAAUGAAUUUAAACUAAAGUGUUGAGUUGUGAUGAUCUUUUUAUAAUUUUUUUGUAUGUAUUUAUAGUAUUAUACGCCAUUAAUAUUUAGAUAUUAUUAGAAGAACUAUUAGCCAGCAACACAAGAUAAAAAGUAAAAUGAGAGAGCAAUAUAAUAUAAAGUGAUUUUACUCAUUCCAAAUGUAUACAAAACAAAAAGAUUAGCUCUUUUUUAUUGUUACAUAAUCACUCCAUGAAAUUAAUGGAAAUAUUAUAGAUCAUAAUUCUUUGUGAGAUAGUAGGAGUUAUAGAGAAGCCAAAUGUGGCUGGUGGGAGAUAGUAGGGAGACUAAGAGAUGUAUGUUAUAAACAUCCACAUUUAUUUUAAUAAAUUUAAAACACUCCCCCUUGAAUGUUCAUUACAAAAGAAUACGCUUCAUUAAAACCUUUACUAAAAAAAACCCUUAUGGGAAAAAAAUUAAUAAAGGAAAAUGAGUACAUUAUUCAUUGAUGUCUUGAAACAAAUAAUUUUGGAGAUAUAGAGAUAAAAACCUAGUGGGGAAAAAGGAGUACAACAUAUAAAAUCCCUCCAAAAUAAAUUAUUUUCCCCAAUAAGUAGACUCCAUGAUGCAACGGAAGUUUCAUGUUCAAAAUAUUAUGUUGAUUCUAGAGAAUACUAGAAUAAAGAACAAACUAAUUUCACAUUGAUUCAAAAUAAUACCACAAAUUUAGGGGACUAAGACUCGUUAAUUCCGAGAAUACUGGGAAUUAAUUAAACUAAAAAACUCACAUAGAGAUUUGCAAAAACUGAAAUAUUAUUGAACUUUAUUUUCCUUUCUAGUUUAGAACUUUAUUUUCCUUUUCUUUAUGGUUAGGAUAUUUAUACUAGUAGUAAAUAUCCUAACCAUAAAGAAAAGGAAAAUAAAGUUCUAAACUAGAAAGGAAAAUAAAAGUCUUAAACCUUUGUUAAUAAGGAAACAUAUUCUAAUAUAAUAUGGAUUCCUAAUUUGCAUCAUUCCCCCAGAAUGGAGAGAAUUCACCUUCAAAUUUGAAUUGUCAACAACAACAUCUUCAUCAUGAUCACCUUUGCAAGGAAUAAGAUGCUUGACAUUGAAUACAUAUGUAGCGCGGUUGUGACUAGGAAGCUUUAAUUGGUAGGCAUUAGGAUUUAUCUUCUUUAUAAUCUCCAAAAGUCCAAUUUUCCUGACAGAAAGCUUGUUGUUGUCACCAACUGAGAAUCUAUCUUUGGUUAGGACAGCCAAACAAGAUCUCCCACCUGAAAUUCUAAAGCUCAAAACCUUUUGUCUGCCUUAAUUUUAUAACCUCCGGUAGUCUUCUUCAAAGACUCUUGCGUAACUUCAUGAAUCUUCUGAAGCUGCUUAAUAAAGUCUUUUGUCUUGCUGCUUUUGCAAACUAAAUCUAGAACUAGAGUUAAGUCAAUGGGAGCUCGUGGAUUAUAUCCAUAAUUCACUUAAAAAAAGACUUAAACCAGUACUACGCUUAACUGCUGGGUUAUAAGCAAACUCGACUUGAUAUAACUUUUGAUCCCAUAUCUUCGGGUUAUCACCAACUAGACUAUGUAGAUGGUUUCCUAAAGAGCAAUUGACAACUUCAGUUUAACCAUCUAUUUGUGGGUGGUAAGUACUUUCAAAAUUUAGGCGAGUGUUAGUCAACUACCAUAAUGUUUUCCAAAAAUGGCUAAGAAAUCACAUAUCUCAAUCAAAUACUAUAGAACUCAGUAAACCAUGCAAUCUAUAGACUUAUUUACAGAAUAGACAAGCAACAGUCAAGGCAUCUGUAAUCUUCUUAUAGGCAAUAAAGUGAGCCAUUUUCAAGAAUUGAUCCACCACAACAAAUAUUGAAUCCAUACCCCUCUGAGUACGGGGUAAUUCCAAAAAUAAAUCCAUGCUAAUGUCGGUCCAAAAUUGUGUUGGAAUUGGCAGUGGCAUAUAUAACAAACACACACCCGCCCAUAUACACAAUCACACUAAUCACCUAGCACAUCAUAUAUAUAUUUAUGUCCUUGUAUAUAAUUCAAAUUUCAACAAAAGUAUCAAAAGUUAAAUUCAUAUUCCAUCCUAUAUACAUGAACCAUCAAUUAAAUAAUUUUAUUUCCUAGGGUUGGUGGGAGAGGGAAAUGAUCAUGUGACCUCUUGUUUUCACUCUAAGGGGACAAACCAAUUCGACUUAUUCCGUCAGAGAUACAAAAAGUUACUUCUUGCUAAUUAAUAUUGUGGUGACAUUAAAAUAAAAUAGUAACUAGCAUAUUUAUGGACAAAUCUCAAAUAUUUGUGUUAUUUUCAUAAAAUAUUUAAGUGUUGUGCAAAUUUUAAUAAAUAAGAUAUAGAUGCACAGCUUUCGGGUUCAUGGAAUUUGCCAAUGGACUUUAUUUUAUUUUAUUCAUUAGUUCCCCUUCUUUCUAUAUAUUAAAUACAUGUUCUUAUAUAAGAAGUAACAAGAAUUAUUAGAAUUUGAUAUAUCUCAAUCUGAUCUAUUGACCCGGAGAGCGACAAUUUUUUUAAUAUUGUCUAUUAUUGAAAUCACCUCCAUUUGUUGACUUUGUAUAUUUUCUAAGGGAUUCGCUUUGAUUUUCUUUAUUAUUUUGGAGAUCCGAUCUUUUCAGAAGCAAUUAUGCAAGACACUUAUAAUAAAUAUGAUGAAUUUGGCUGCACUACACUAUAUGCCACUCAACACUCACUUUGGUGAAUAAUUUCUCAAAGCCAGCAAAAGAUGGCAGUGCCUCUCAAAAACAUUUUCCGAAUAACUGCUUCCAAAUUAAUCACCAAUAAUGUCCAGAUCUUCUCAAAAAGAAGUAUCAAAAGUGCCACUUCUGAUGUUCAGAUCAUUUCCACCGAAAGAGUCCAACCUUCACUUCCAACGCGAAAACAUCUUAGAACCUAUAAACUUUCAUUGAUUGAUCAAAUGAAUUAUGAUCUUUAUAUUCCCCUAGUUUUCUUCUACUCAGCCAGUUGCAAGCACCAAGAUUUCAGAAAAAAAUCUGAUUUAUUGAAGCAAUCUCUCGCAACAACAUUAACCCACUACUACCCCUUUGCUGGAAGAUUCAUUGAUGGUUUUUCGGUCGACUGUAAUGAUCAUGGGGCUGCAUUUAUUGAAGCAAAUGUUGGCAGUGAUAUAUCAAAGUUUCUUCAACCACCAGAUAUGGAGCUGCUACAACAAUUAAUCCCAC